GCCCGUCGGAGCUGAAGGUCGACGGAGGCUGUGUGAGUGCGUACAUCAAGUUCGGCACCCCCCAGUACUGCUGCACGCCGCCGCUUACGCCGUCGACCUGUGGGUCGACGAACUACUCGCUCUUCUUCAAGGGGCACUGUCCGGACGCCUAAGGCUACGCCUACGAGAAGAGCAGCACCUUCACCUGCCACGUCCGAUCAGACUACCAAGUCACCUUCUGCCCAUAGAGGCGAUUGGGAUUCAAUUUACUUCGAUGGUUAAGUCUGUAAUUUAAUAGCGUUUCCAAUGUAAUAAUGGAAAUAAUGAUGACCGAUGAUUCCACAAAAAAAAUCUAUUGAAAAACUUUAUUGAGAAAAUUUGUUUGACAACAUUCUUUUUCUUUUGUGAGGAUAGAAUAGUCAACUUCUUUGUUUCGAGGACGAACAUACUUCUCUCUUUAAUCCAUGUUAAAUCAGCAACAAUUAAUAUAAAUCGAAGGGAGUAUAUGAAACAAGGCCUGCCCAAGUUUAGUUACCUUUUCUGAAGAUAGUAACUAACCGUGAAUCUCGUAUUUCCUAUAUAACUCUCGUUGCCUCGGUUUGUCUACGAGACAUCUUAUGUGACGCUCACCAUGUCUAACAGGUGUCUAACAGUAGCGAGCUGGGCCACCGGCCCAUAAACAAAGUACUGCUGCAGUACCUAAACACUGAUUAAGAAUCUGAAUGCAGGACCAAGUUCAAUGACCAUAAAUAAAGGAUAUUAAAGCAAAUAUGUCGUCCAUUGAAGAUGUUAGGGGUAAAGCAUGAGAUGAGAGAAUCACAUGAAGGAGCUCAAAGCCUAGCAAAAGCUGCUUUAUCGCUAGAUUUGGGGUGCCCCACCUGUGGGUUACAUACCCACCUGAAAUCGCUUGUAUCCCAAACGUUGUUUUGAGUUAAUAAAAACCUGGUGAUACCCCUCAAAAAAGCACUGCAGCAAUGCAAUGUAGCAACUACUCCCGCUAUAACCUUCUCCAAUACGUUUGUAGAGUCCAUGACAACAUUAAAAAACGACAUAUAUUAUAUUUGAGAAGAAGUAAUGUUCUAGCAUGGUACUGUAGUGGUCAUUUUUGGGGAAAAAUAGAACAACUUUUGGAAAGCCGUAGACAUCACCAGGGAAUGCCUGCCAGAGCUGCAGGUGCCCGGAGGGUGCGCGAGCGCGUGCGGCAAGUUCGGCGGCGACACGUACUGCUGCCGGGGCCAGUUCGAGCACAACUGCCCGCCGACGAACUACUCGAGGUUCUUCAAGGGCAAGUGCCCCGACGCCUACAGCUACGCCAAAGACGACCAGACCAGCACAUUCACCUGCCCCGCCGGAACCAACUACCAGAUCGUCCUCUGCCCCGCCCGAAAUGAUUUGCACAUGGAUCAGUAAGUAGAGGACGUACUACUCCUAGUAGUCUUCCUUGCUUAUUAUGAUCGUCGAUCAUUUCUGUGUGUGCGUGCGUGCGUGCAUGGCUGCUGCGUGCCAUUCAGAGAAAAUGGAAGUGUAAUUUCUACGGUUAUGUGGAGUGCAACUCUGUUUUAUUUUCUUACCUUAUUAUUGCCAUGAGUAAUGCAUCUAUGGAAAUUUUAAUAUGGUCCCUCUUACAUCCUCUUUGCUUACUCCUGUAAGUUUAGCAUUUUUGCUGUGCCCAAGCCCCAAGAGGACAUCCCAUUUCCGUACAUCAAAUCCAUAUAUAAUCAUGAUCGUGCAAGUUUAGCAUUUUCGUUGUGCCACCUUCCAUCUUCAUCUCUGGUAUAUCAUGUCGUUUAGCCGCAUAUGCACUUACGAUUACGCUUAGUCUAGAGAGGUUUUUAUUAACAUGCUCCUAGUCUAGACGGAUCACAAUAUAUCAUGUCGUUUAACCGCAUAUUCAUCUCUUUUUAUCCGCUUUGAUCUACCUUUUGUGUAUCUUUUGUAGCUAAGACAAAGAGGUAGCUGCACGUUGCUAUCCUAGAGUUAAUUCUGCUCGCCGUCGUGCACCACAGACAUCCACGAUGGAGGUGGUCACCUAAUUAUCUUACCCACAAUCAAGUUAAUCAGCAAUGUGCUGUUUUUUCUCUUGACACAACUCAAGAUAGCGGUAGGACCACUGACCUUGAACACUUGAUGAUAGAGCUCAAGUGUCAUUAGUAGCUAGGACCAUGAAACAAGAUGAGAAUAGUCCACGAGCUCAAGUGUCAUUAAUAGCUAGGACCAUGAAAACAAUUUGUGGCCAAGAGUGAGUCACAACAUCUUCUCCCCCCCUUCUUGACAACCACAUUGCUAUGUCAAUAGAAAACAUUUAAAAAAAAUAACACAGCCAGGUGUGGACCAGUGAAUGUCUGCCUCCUAGAUGUAGGCUCUGUUUGAUAGCAAAGUAUUUUAGAAAAUACUACUGCAGUUUAAUUUACUUUGAGGUGUUUGGCUACUAUUAAAAACUUUGAUAUUAAUUCCAGAGUACUCCCUCCGUCCGGUGAAAAGUGUACAUAGUAUAAAUUUUUUAGGACCAAUUACGGAGUGGAGUAAAAAAUGCAUUGGAAAAGUGCAAGCCAUCAUCUCUCUCCUCUUUAAUUACCCAACCCAUGUACAAAUUAAGGAGACCAUGCGAGAGAAACAAAUUUUCCUAUUUUAAAGUGCAUUAGAAAGAUAGAAGUACACUCUUUUUGGACAAAUUUCAAAGCCAAAUGUACACUCUUCACCAGACGGAGGGAGUAUGUUCAAAACCAGAGUAUUUUCUCUGUCUUAAAAAAGAACCUUUGAGCGGACACGAAGUUUCUAAGCCCGAGCUCAAAUGAACUUUGAUGGACACUAAAACUGAAAACAAUUUAAAAACAAUCAAAAAAUCUGAAUAUUUUUUAUGACAAACAUUGACAAAUGUUCUAUGAGUUUUCAAAAUUUCAUCAUAGAAUCACAUUCCUAAAAGGCGUGGCAAAGAAAAUGGAUAUGUUACCACAACUUCCGCAAAUGUGACUCCACGAUGAAAUUUUGCAAGCUUUUAGAACAUUUGUUAAUGUUUAUCACAAAAAAGACAGACUUUUUUGAUUUUUUUAGAUUUGAUUUAUUGUUCACCCGAGCUCAUUUGACACUACUGCAGGAAUGCCCAGCAACGGCGGGUGCAAAAAGCCUAGUAGUGGCGGGCCGGGCUCUCAGAACCGCCCGCCANNNNNNNNNNNNNNNNNNNNNNNNNNNNNNNNNNNNNNNNNNNNNNNNNNNNNNNNNNNNNNNNNNNNNNNNNNNNNNNNNNNNNNNNNNNNNNNNNNNNNNNNNNNNNNNNNNNNNNNNNNNNNNNNNNNNNNNNNNNNNNNNNNNNNNNNNNNNNNNNNNNNNNNNNNNNNNNNNNNNNNNNNNNNNNNNAUCGCCCGCCACAACUAUAAUCUCUGCCCGCCACUAUGGUGUGUAUUAGCAGUGACAGACACCUUUGCCGCCUACCACUGGUAGUGUUGUCGGCAUAUAGAGAAAUUGCUGCCGCGGCAUUGUUUUUUUUUUGCUGCGCGCGGCUCUGAAGCAGUAUUUUGCACUCAAUCAUCCCAUUUCAUUCAAACAAUCAUACUACAACGGUGUUACAAUAAUUAAGAUUAUUAAUGAAGCAAACAUACAGUAUAAGAAGUGUAGGGCAACAAAUAAACAUGUAAAAUUGUCAACUCAUAAAAUGAACAACGAAUCAAGAUGUUUUGAAGCAUUGUAUCGCUCACACUCGAUUACCGAAUAUGUUUUCGACUCAGUGAAGUCGUUCUUCAUCUCGCUCUAGCUACAAGUGAAACUUCCCAUCUUCAUUUACAACCUCUUUGUUGAUGAUUCUGGCCAACACCUUUUGGAGGCGGCCAAACUCUGUUAAUAGUACCCCUAUGCCCAUGUCCCUCUCCAUCUCUUCGGACCACUUGAUGACCUGGCUAUGAUUAUGCAAAUAUUUGCUUUUCUUCAAAAAAGUCAUCCAUGAUAGCCAUGGCAUGACAUCCAGACCUAUGAGAGGUUUCCACAUUUUGUUCUUAAUAACAACAAGCGCUAGUGAAGAACUUGAAUUCUGAAUGUUCUGCUAUAGUCUCUUUGACGUUCUUACACUUGGCGAGAGCAUCAUUUAGAACCUUCUUCAAUCCAGUCCAGUUCUUUUGAGGGUGUCUCUUCGAAUUGAAGAAGUAAGCCAAGCCAUCCAUUGGCAAUAGUGCGAUUACGAUCCAAUGUCGGUUGCUGCGCAAAAAAAUAAAGAAAUUAGCAUUGAUGAGAUCAAACCACAAGGCCAUUUAUAUGUUUCAAAAUAAAUUAGUGAAUGUUAAUGACUUACUUCGCAGUAUGGCACUAGAAAGGUGUCCGCAUGUGGAUGAUUGACAAUAAAGAACGGGGAUAUGUGAACGGGAACAUGUAGUCUGAGAUGACCUCCUGGACUUCUGUGGUUUCCAGGUUGUGGCAGUGCAUGUAAAAAGGAUUAGGUAAGGACACUUUACCAUGCGGGAGUAGGGGAUCUGUAGCUCGAUGAAGUACCCAGAGCCUCAUUAACUCUAGGGAAACUGCACUAACGGAGAAAAUAUUUGCAUAGAUGACUUCAUCAAAGGCCAAAUCAAUUCUGUCGGGCGGAGACUCUGGGACAAAACUAUAACCUUCUAUCACCUUGGCCGUGUAUCCAUGUUGACAGUUUUUAAUUUAUCUACCACAUGAGCGUGUAGAAAUUGAAGAUCAAUCGAGACGGUCUCCAACAUAGAAUCUGAUAGAAGCAGUUCCCCAGGCUUAUACAUGUUCAUUUUCGGCCCUUCGGGGAUGACAACAUGCAUAGGUGGUUUGUCCGCAGAUUGUCUGCAACUGUCACGUGCAUUCUUCUCCCCUGAAUGUGGAUUAUCUGGCACUACAUCUCCGGUGCCGACAUAUCCUUGGGGAAUCUCCUCUAUAUCAUUCGUUGGCCACUUAAGUAGGUGGCUCAGGGUCAGUUUCAAUAACAUAUUGACACCGUCGGCAACAGCGAGUUGUCAUGCCUUUUGUGUUACCCUUGAACCUACAUGAUUUUGAGUGGGUCACCUGCGAAGACGACGAAGGCCAGUGCGUCGCCCCAGCCGCAUGCCCUCUUCAUCGCCUCGCCUUGCUGGCCGUCGUCCGUGGCUAGAUUGCCCGAUUUUUGGUCUUCUGGUCGAGCCUCCGGGAUCUACACACUAGUAGAAAAGGGGGCAUUGGUCCAUACCGGGUCAGCCCAUUAGUCCCGGUUCAGUCCAGAACCGGGACCAAUGGUGGCAUUGGACCCGGUUCAUGAGCCCCGGGGCCGGCCGGGCCACCUGGGCCAUUGGUCCCGGUUCGUCUGGACCUUUUGGUCCCGGUUGGUGGGACAAACCGGGACCAAUGGGCCUCGCUCCUGGCCCACCACGAUUGGUCCCGGUUAGUGGCAUGAACCGGGACCAAAGGCUGCCCUUUAGUCCCGGUUCAUGCCACCAACCGGGACCAAUGAGGUGCCUAUAUAUACCCCCUCGCGUAAGAGCAGAGCACACUGCUCUGUUUUUUUGGCAGCCGAGGGGGAGAGGGCUUGGUGGUGCUCUAGCUCACCUCCUAUGCACACAAGGUGUUCGACGGAAUGCCCGAGCCACACUACUUAAGCUUUCUCCUCUCCAAGCUCGACCUCCAAGCUCCAUUUUCCUCAAUAUUUGUCUAGGUUUAGCGGUCCGUCACGCCCCGUACCCGUCUUCACCACCGUCGAUCACCCGCGUCGAUCUCAUCGCCGGCACCACCGUGGUGAGCCUAUUGUUCUUAUCUUCUUUCUGAAAGGAAAAAUAUUCUUACUUGUAUGUUUAGAUAGAUACUUGUAUUAUUUUCUUACUUUUAUUAUUGCAUCUUAUAUAGUGCGAUGGUUUUGGUAUCUGCCCCCGUCGGUCCUCGUCCUGUCUAUGAUUCGGAUGUGGUAUAUAUUAUCUUUUCAUAACUAUUGGUGCAUUUAUUGUUUAUGAAAAUGAUGCCGACCAACAUGACAUAGAUUUUAUUUAUCUAGGAGGUUGUUGAACCGGAAAUUCCAACCGACCCUAUUGUCGAGAGGUUAAAUUUAGUUGAAGAAGAAAACAAUUUCUUGAAGGAAAAAAUAAGAAAAAUUGAGGAGGAGAAGAUGAUAUUGGAGUUGCAUGUUGCGGAUGUCGUCGAUGAUCACAAGAUCAAGAUGGAUGCAAUGCACUUGAAGAUUAGAAAGAUUAGAAAAUAUGCCAUUCAUACCGAGGCUUGGUAUUAUUAUGCCAUUGGAUCAGUUGUUACCUUGGUUGCGAUUAUGAUCGCAUUUGUUUUCGCAUUGAAAUGUUUUACAUAGUUUCAAUGUAUUGUUUAAUUAAUUUAGAUGCUCUGUAGAGCUUUAUGUUGUUCUGUAAUGAUUUUCGCUUGAAGAUGAGAACUAUGUAUGUACUUUGGUUUUAAUGUGAUGAUGAACUUCUAUUAAUUUGGUCACUUAGUUAUCUAUUCAUGAUGUUCUGUAAUGAUUUUUGACACACUUAAUUAUAUAUAAUGCACGCAGAUGAACCGGCAAUGGAUGUACGGUAACAAACACACCUCCGAGUACAUUAAGGGCGUGCAUGAUUUUCUCGAAGUGGCUGAGGAAAACAAGAAGAAUGGUUUUAUGUGUUGUCCAUGCCCUAUAUGUGGGAAUACGAAGUCUUACUCUGACCGGAAAAUCCUUCACACCCACCUGCUUUACAAGGGUUUCAUGCCACACUAUAAUGUUUGGACGAGGCACGGAGAAAUAGGGGUUAUGAUGGAAGAUGACGAAGAAGAAGAGUACGAUGACAACUAUGUGCCCCCUGAAUACGGUGAUCCUACUGAACAUCAAGAGGAACCAGAUGAUUUGCACGAUGAUGCUGCAACGGGCGAAGCUGCUGAAGAUCAAGAGGAACCAUACGAUGUGCCCGAUGAUGAUGAUCUCCGCCCGGUCAUUGUCGAUGCAAGGACGCAAUGCGAAAGUCAAAAGGAGAAGCUAAAGUUCGAUCGCAUGUUAGAGGAUCACAAAAAAGGGUUGUACCCCAAUUGUGAAGAUGGCAACACAAAGCUCGGUACCGUACUGGAAUUGCUGCAGUGGAAGGCAGAGAAUGCUGUGCCAGACAAAGGAUUUGAGAAGCUACUGAAAAUAUUGAAGAAGAAGCUUCCAAAGGAUAACUAAUUGCCCGACAGUACAUACGCAGCAAAGAAGGUCGUAUGCCCUCUAGGAUUGGAGGUGCAUAAGAUACAUGCAUUCCCUAAUGACUGCAUCCUCUACCACGGUGCAUACAAGGAUCUGAACGCAUGCCUGGUAUGCGGUGCAUUAUGGUAUAAGAUCAGACGAGAUGACCCUGGUGAUGUNNNNNNNNNNNNNNNNNNNNNNNNNNNNNNNNNNNNNNNNNNNNNNNNNNNNNNNNNNNNNNNNNNNNNNNNNNNNNNNNNNNNNNNNNNNNNNNNNNNNNNNNNNNNNNNNNNNNNNNNNNNNNNNNNNNNNNNNNNNNNNNNNNNNNNNNNNNNNNNNNNNNNNNNNNNNNNNNNNNNNNNNNNNNNNNNNNNNNNNNNNNNNNNNNNNNNNNNNNNNNNNNNNNNNNNNNNNNNNNNAGGGUUCCUGCGAAGGUGAUGUGGUAUGCUCCUAUAAUACCACCGUUGAAAUGUCUAUUUAGAAAUGAAGAGAAUGCCAAGUUGAUGCGAUGGCACAGUGAGGACCGUAAGAAAGACGGGAAGUUGAGAGCACCCGCUGACGGGUCGCAGUGGAGAAAAAUCGAGAGAAAGUACUGGGCUGAGUUUGCACGUGACCCAAGGAACGUAUGGUUUGCUUUAAGAGCAGAUGGCAUUAAUCCUUUCGGGGAGCAGAGCAGCAAUCACAGCACCUGGCCCGUGACUCUAUGUAUGUAUAAACUUCCUCCUUGGAUGUGCAUGAAGCGGAAGUUCAUUAUGAUGCCAGUUCUCAUCCAAGGCCCUAAGCAACCCAGCAACGACAUUGAUGUGUACCUAAGGCCAUUAGUUGAAGAACUUUUACAGCUGUGGAAUGGAAACGGUGUACGUACGUGGGAUGAGCACAAACAGGAGGAAUUUAACCUAAAUACGUUGCUAUUCAUGAGCAUCAAUGAUUGGCCCGCUCUCAGUAACCUUUCAGGACAGACAAACAAGGGAUACCACGCAUGCACGCACUGUUUACUUGACACCGAAAGUAUAUACCUGGGAAGCUGCAGGAAGAAUGUGUACCUGGGCCAUCGUUGAUUUCUUCCGACCAACCAUCAACGUCGAAAGAAAGGCAAGCAUUUCAAAGGCGAGGCAGAUCACCGUAAGAAGCCCGCCAUGCGUACCGGUAAUCACGUACUUGCUAUCGUCAAUGAUUUACACGUAAUCUUUGGAAAGGGUCCCGGCGCACUAGCUGUUCCGAAUGACGCCGAGGGACACGCACCCAUGUGGAAGAAGAAAUCGAUAUUUUGGGACCUACCCUACUGGAAAGACCUAGAGGUCCGCUCUUCAAUUGACGUGAUGCACGUAACGAAGAACCUUUGUGUGAACCUGCUAGGCUUCUUGGGCGUGUAUGGAAAGACAAAAGAUACAGCUGAGGCACGGGAGGACCUGCAACGUUUGCACAAAAAAGACGGCAUGCCUCCAAAGCAGUAUGAAGGUCCUGCCAGCUAUGCUCUUACCAAAGAAGAGAAGGAAAUCUUCUUUGAAUGCCUGCUUAGUAUGAAGGUCCCUAAAGUCUCAUGACUGCCACAUGAUUAUGACGCAACUGCUUCCGGUUAAAUUGAGGGGGCUUCUACCAGAAAACGUCCGAUUAGCCAUUGUGAAGCUAUGUGAAUUCCUCAAUGCAAUCUCUCAGAAGGUGAUCGAUCCAGAAAUCAUACCAAGGCUAAGGAGUGAUGUGGUGCAAUGUCUUGUCAGUUUCGAGCUGGUGUUCCCACCAUCCUUCUUCAAUAUCAUGACGCAUGUCUUAGUUCAUCUAGUCGACGAGAUUGUCAUUCUGGACCCCGUAUUUCUACACAAUAUGUACCCCUUUGAGAGGUUCAUGGGAGUCCUAAAGAAAUAUGUCUUUACCGUGCUAGGCCAAAAGGAAGCAUCUCCAUGGGCCAUCAAAUAGAGGAUAUCACCGGGUUUUGUGUUGACUUCAUUCCUGGCCUUAAGAAGAUAGGUCUCCCUAAAUUGCGGUAUGAGGGGAGACUGACUGGAAAAGACACGCUUGGAAGGGACUCAAUAAUAUGCAGGGACGGAUAUUCUUGGUCUCAGGCACACUAUACAGUUCUAAAGAACUCUACCUUGGUGACCCCGUAUGUCGAUGAACACAAGAACAGUCUGUGCUCCAAACACCCAGAGCAGUGCGACAACUGGAUUACAUGUGAACACAUCAGGACUUUCAGCAGUUGGUUGGAAACUUGUCUCAGAGGUGACAACACUGUUUGUGAUGAGCUGUACUUGUCGUCCAGGGGACCAUCUUCGACUAUUACGAUUUGCUAAGGAUACGAGAUAAAUGGGAAUACAUUUACACGAUUGACCAAGAUCAAAAGAGCACCAACCAAAACAGCGGUGUCUGCUUUGAUGCAACAACCGAGAGGGGAAGGGACACGUAUUAUGGUUACAUAGUGGACAUAUGGGAACUUGACUACGGACAUGAUUUUAAGGUUCCUUUGUUUAAGUGCAAAUGGGUCAAUCUGUCAGGAGGCGGGGUACAUGUAGACCAACAGUACGGAAUGACAACAGUGGAUCUGAAAAAUCUUGGGUACACUGAUGAACCGUUCGUCCUAGCCAAUGAUGUGGCACAGGUUAUCUAUGUGAAGGACAUGUCUACCAGACUGAGAAAAAGAAAAGGUAAGGAAGCGAAUACAUCAUAUGAUGAGCCAAAGCACCACAUAGUUCUUUCAGGAAAAAGGGACAUCGUGGGAGUGGAGGGCAAGACAGACAUGUCUGAAGAUUAUGAAAAGUUUCAUGAAAUUCCUCCCUUCAAAGUCAAGGCUGACCCCAGCAUCCUGAUAAACGAUGAAGAUUAUACAUGGUUAUGACGCAAUAAGCAAAUGACACAAGCGAAGAAAAAGUGAAGAAUUUCUCCCGCAACUGUUAUGAUGAUACCAUGCCAACUUUGUAACAGACGAGUAUGAUACCAUUGUUCGUUUUGUACGUGCACAUGCUAUGUGGGUGAAAUUAUGAUACCAUGCCAACUUUCAACUUUUUCAGAGUUCAUUUGAAAUGCUUUAAUGUCUUAUGGUUCGGCCCUCGUAAUACCAUUAAUCCCGGUUCGCUCCUUGUCAACUAUGUUCUCACCAAGAACACUCUCAAGAGGGCAGCCACGUGGGCCAUUGGUCCCGGUUCGUUUGGACCUUUUGGUCCCGGUUCCACGCACGAACCGGGACCAAUGCGCCUCGCCCCUGGCCCAUGACCAUUAGUCCCGGUUUGUGCCACAAACCAGAACUAAAGGGUUGGUCCUCGUUGCGCUUAGAGUUUAGUCCCACCUCGCCAACCGAAUGGCGCUCACACCGGUUUAUAAGCCCGUCCCUCUCUGCCUUGUUGAGCUCCACUCAAAGUGAAAAUAGAUGCCCCUAUACAGGAAAAUUGACCUAAAUUCAUAGUGAAUUUCUCUGAAAUUUAUAGGAAUUUAUUAUGAAUUUAGGUUGAAUUUUCUCUAUAGGCGCAUGUAUGUUCAUUUUUUAGUAAAGUUAAUCACAAACUUGUGAUUCACGCAAAUUUCAAAGAAUUCAAAUUUUGGCUAUUCAAAUUUGAAAACUAAUGGCACUAAAAGAAAGUUUAUGAUUUUUCUAAAACUAAUGGCACUAACAGAAAGUUAUAAUUUUGCUGACCUAAAAGCAAAAAGAAUUAAAAAAUAAAGCAAAAAACAAAAACAAAAAAUAAUACAGAAAACAAUACAAAAAACCGGAAACAAAAUAAAAAUAGCAACAAUAAGUAUUUUGUUGUAAGUAGAAACAAAAUAAAACAAAUAAAGCAAGAAAGAAAACAAGAAAAUAAAAAAAGUGUUUUCACAUUUGAAAACUAAUGGCACUAACAGAAAGUUUAUAAUUUUUCUAAAACUAAAAGCAAAAAGAAUUAAAAAAUAAAGCAAAAAACAAAGGAAAAUAAAUAAUGCUGAAAACAAAACAAAAAAACUGGAAAAAAUUAAAAAUAGCAACAAUAAGUAAAGAAAACAAAAAAUAAAAAAAUGCCUCCUACUGGGCCCCCACGGCCUGAAUACGACUAGAAACCCUACCAUGGACCAGGAUUCAGACCCGCAGGAGGCCCAGUAGGCCCGCAGGCAGAUAAGUGACUUUAGGCCCGUAAGCCUGCAUUUGAGAGGAGCUCGAAGUGGUCAGCGCAGCAGCGCUUAUAAACCACUGUCGAGCCCUCUGGGCUAGCGAGGUGGGACUAAACAUCCCACCGCACCACGCCGCGCCAGUUCCAGCACAAGGCCUUUGGUCCCGGUUGGAGCCACCAACCGGGACUAAACGGGUGCAUUGGUACCGGUUCGUGGCACAAACCGGGACCAAUGCCCACCUUUAGUCCCGGUUGGUGCCACCAACCGGGACCAAAGGCCGCCGCUUCCCGCCCUUUGGGCUGCCGAAAACUGGCCUUUGGNNNNNNNNNNNNNNNNNNNNNNNNNNNNNNNNNNNNNNCUCGCCGUCGCCCUGCCCCUGCCCCCACCCCCGCGCGCCGGCCCCGCUGUGAGCCGCCGCCCCGGCUCUAUUUUUUUAUUAGUUUAAUUUUUUUGUUCAUAUAUAUAUAUAAUGUAUAUGUGUAUGUAUGUGGCUAUAUGUUUUUUUAUUUUUAUUAGUUUAAUUUUUUUUGUUCAUAUGUGAUGUAUAUGUGUAUAUGGCUAUAAUAUAUAUGUGUAUGUGAUGUAUAUGUGUAUGUGUCUAUAAUGUAUAUGUGUAUGUGAUGUAUAUGUGUAUGUGGCUAGAAUAUGCUAAAUAUAUACGUGAAAAAUGUUUGUUUGUUCAUAGAAAGUUUUUUGUUCAUAUAUAGAAAGUUUUUAUAUAUGACAAUGGAUAUAUAUUCGAUAUAUAUGAGAAAUGAUGAUCCAUGGAAAAGGUUUAUAUAUGCAAAAGUUACAAUUUUAGAAAAGUUUUAUAUAUCUAGCUAGGAAGGGAAGAACAAGAAAAUGAAUAAUGAGAGGAAAAAGGAAAUAAGAAGAGGAAAGAAAGAAGAAGAGGAGAGGAAGAAGAGGAGAAAUAAAUAAGAAGAAAAAAAAGAAGAAAAGGAAGNNNNNNNNNNNNNNNNNNNNNNNNNNNNNNNNNNNNNNNNNNNNNNNNNNNNNNNNNNNNNNNNNNNNNNNNNNNNNNNNNNNNNNNNNNNNNNNNNNNNNNNNNNNNNNNNNNNNNNNNNNNNNNNNNNNNNNNNNNNNNNNNNNNNNNNNNNNNNNNNNNNNNNNNNNNNNNNNNNNNNNNNNNNNNNNNNNNNNNNNNNNNNNNNNNNNNNNNNNNNNNNNNNNNNNNNNNNNNNNNNNNNNNNNNNNNNNNNNNNNNNNNNNNNNNNNNNNNNNNNNNNNNNNNNNNNNNNNNNNNNNNNNNNNNNNNNNNNNNNNNNNNNNNNNNNNNNNNNNNNNNNNNNNNNNNNNNNNNNNNNNNNNNNNNNNNNNNNNNNNNNNNNNNNNNNNNCUCCUCUAUUCCUUUCUUCUUCUCCUCUAUUCCUUUCUUCUUCUCCUCUUUUUUCUUCUUCUUUUUUUUCUUUGAUCUUCUACUCUGUCGUCGUCGAUAUACCCCCCCUCGGCCCUCUCGCUCGACCAAAACUCUCGAGGACACCCAAAUCCUAGAGAAAAAACGAUGUUGGUCUCAUACCCCCUCCCGCUGCGCCCCUACCCGACAAACUCUCUUGAGGCCACCCAAGUUUACCAAGUUAAAAGAGCGUUAUCGUCGAGGCCACCCGAAACCCUUGAAGCUUUGUGCCGAGGCCAUCCCAAACCCCUUGAAGCGUUGUCUAGGCCACCCCAAACCCUAGAGAAGCAGCGUCGAGGCCACUAACAUGAUUCCUUAUUGUGAUUAGCUAGCUAGUUCUACGUUUGCAACUAAUAUAUUUCCAUCUGUACCAUGUUUGAAUAAUAAUUGACAUGUUGUAAAUAUUUGCAGAAACUAUGGAGCACUCCCGAGACGAAGCAACAGAAGCGAUGUUGGGGGAGAUAAUUGCAGAAGGAAGUGAUGUCGUUGCAUCAUUUUUCAACGACACCGUUGGUCAGGAAGGACUGGAUGAAGAAGAGGGCUAUGUUCAUGAUGGCUCCGGCCCAUUAAUGCCGGCACAAGAAGAGGGCUAUGUUCAUGAUGGCUCCGGUGACCUAAUGGAGGUACAAGGAGGAGACCGUGCUGACUGCUCCGGUGACCGAACCGAGUCCGGCCAGGUAUAUAUAUAUUAGUUAAGCCCAUGCUGACUAGCUAAUUGAUGCAUUCAUUGUUUUGGUAUAUGUACAUAUAUUAAUUAACUCUCGUCUUUCUUCCUUUUUCUAGCCCUCCGGAUCGAGCACAACUUCGGUAAGGAGACGAGGCCCAAAGAAAAAGUUGAGCUCGGAUGAAAAGUUUGAGAUCACGGCAAUCGCGUGCGACGGCGAACCAAUUGAACGCAUUUGUUGCUCAGUGUGGGGUUCUUGUUAGGGACAAGAUCCCGAUCAGCAUCCACCAAUGGUAUAAGCCUAAGGAGGAAGACCCUUAGGUAUCUUAUGUCAAUGAUAUGCAGAAAAAUGAUCUUUGGACUGAGCUGAAGGCAAAUUUCACCCUACCGCCAGAGGAGGAUCCGGAGAAGCCAGUUAAAGAGAAAUUAAUCAAGUCUUGUGCUCUUAAGAAGAUGGCAGGCCUAUUCAGGAGGUGGAGGAAAGAGCUGGAAAAGUUUGUCGCCAAAGAAGAGACACCAGAAUUCAUCGGAAAAUAUGAGAAGAUCAGAGAUCACUGGCCCUCAUUUGUGGCCUAGACGACAUCGGAAAAGAGUAAGAAGAUGUUGGCGACAAACAAGCAAAAUGCUUCGAAGAAGAAGUUUCACGAUCGCACGGGGUCAGGUGGCUACCUGCAAGCCCGGCCUAAGUGGUCCAAGGCUGAGAAUGAUCUUCUUGAUAAAGGGAUCGAACCGGAGACAAUGAGAUGGCCAGACCAUUGCCGGACUUGGUUCUUCGGGACUGGCAAAACCUUGGACCCUGUAUCAGGGAAGUGCCAUUGGACGGACAAGCAACUGAAAACACCAGUCACAAGGCUUCUGUAGUAUAUCGAUGCAGCGCAGCAAGGGACGUUCGUUCCAGACAGGGAGAAGGACGAACUCACAAUUGCCCUCGGGAAUCCUGAGCACCCUGGACGGACACGAGGCAUGCCAGGCUCCAUUCCGUGGAAGGUUGGUUUUCCGAACAUGGGGGGUUACAAAACCCACGAGAGGAGGAAGAAAUUGGAGCAGAGCCAACUGCAGGUGCUGCACGAAAUGGUAAUGGGGCUAGAGGAACGAGAAGCAGAUCAUAACAAACGGCCUGCCGAAGCUUCCCCCGAAGCUACCCCGCCAUCUCAGCGGAGAAGCAGCGUGGCUUCCACCGAGCUGCUUCAGCCGGAGCAUGUCUUGACGGCUCCUGACAUCUAUCCCGUGGAUGCUAUCAUGGAGGCUCAAAAUUGCCACCUUAUGACGCGAUGGAUGAAUUUGAAGGUCAAGGCGGCUGUUGGCUCUGUUUAUCCUACUGAACACGACGCAACUUUUCACUGCCGGCCGAUUCCAGAAGGAUAUGCUAGGGUGAUGGUGGGUGAAAUAACGGAGGGAUUUGAGGACCUCCAGCUUGACUACCCAACCGGUGAAGGGGAGACUAGGUUGGGUUCUGCUUUGAACACUCCAUGCCUAUGGUGGAAGGAGCUCAUCAACCUUCCGAACUGGACGCCUCCGCCUCCUCCUCCUCCAUCGGCGAGUCAGGGCACUCCGCCUCCUCUACCGCCUCCUCCUCCGGUGAGUGAUGAUCAGGGCACUGGGCCUCCUUCUCCAGCGCGUGGUGGCACUCCGCCUCCUUCUCCCUCUGUGCCGGCGCGCCCGAGCAGCCAACAGCCUCCUCCUUCUCCGGCGCGUGGUGGCACACCGGCGCAGCCUCCUCCUUCUCCGGCGCGUGGUGGCACUCCGCCUCCUUCUCCGCCUGCGCCGGCGCGCCCGAGCAGCCAGCAGCCUCCUCCUUCUCCGCCUCGCCAGCAAGGGCGGAAGAGACCCGCCGCCGCCCCGGCUGCUCCGGCGCGUCGUAGUCCUUCUCCUCCGCCUCGUAAGCAAGCACGAAAGAAGACAGGCGUCGCAGCCGCUCCGUCUGCUCCAGCGUCUAGUAGUACAGCCAGCAGAGGCGGGAGGCAAUAUAGAUACGGUCCUUCUCUGAAGCCUCUAGAGAAGUUACCGUAUGAGAGGACCAAGGUGGAAAACACGAAGAUCGUGCAGGCCGAAGUGGACGACUUCUUUGCCGGGUUGAAAGCAAAGAGACAUCCACCUCCGGAGGAGAAGGUAGAUCUGGUGAAAUCAAAGCGCACUAUCGAUGCCCUGAGGAAACCACCAAAGUCUCCGCCGAGAACCAACUAUGAGCACAUUACUGAAUAGACAUAUCUCGAAGCGGAGUGGUCGGGAAGUACUGUCAGUGAUAAAAAGGUUAAAAGAACGAGCAGCUGGGAAAAAAAUUGCCCAGCUCGGCGAACAAGCAAAGCAACCGUGCCCCCUGCUCAAUGUGUCUAGCGGCGACAUCGUCGCUAAUGCUCCGGGGAUGGUGGCCGGUUAUGGUAAUCUUGGAGAUUACCUGCCUAAGAUCAACUUCCUGAUUUCUUGGAGGUGGGCGAACACAUAUACGAGUACGGGAAGCCUCUCGUCAAAGAUGAAAAAUCUCUAACAACUAUGAUGCAAAGAUUCCAUAAUUGGUACAUGAAAACCUGCAGAGAGUAUGGGGGGACGAAUGCUUUGUAUCUAAAUAUUAAAGAGGAGCACGACCUCAUUGAAACUGAUCUGUUGACUGUUCCAUUUGAUGAGUUCUUCGCGUUCUUCAAUCAAAUGGCCCUCGAUAAACUAACGGUCUUUUGCUACUGUUUGUAAGUACUAUUUCUGUCAUUAAGUCUCUAUAUAUAGCUCAGCUCUUUCAUUGCAUGUAUUUAUAAUUAAUUAUCCUCACUAUAUUAUGCAGAUUGAAGAUCAUCGAGUGCAAAAAACAAGAAAUGUAUGAUAUUGGGUUCAUUAACACAAAUAUCAUAGAUGAAUUUCUGGUUAAAAAGCACGCCGAAGAGGCCGAGGCCAACUUGCUACAAUCGUUGAUCAAAAAUCAAAACAAAGAUACCAUACUCUUUCCUUACAACGGCCCGUGAGUGUUACUGUCGUGUGCAUAUUCGGUUUCCCUUAUUACUCGAGCGAGGUUAUAGUAAUGUAAUUGAUGAGUUAUGCAUGCAUGCGCAGGUACCACUAUAUUCUUCUGGAGAUUAAGCUUGAGCGUGGACUAGUAACCGUCUUAGACUCGAGACGGAAAGAUCCCGAAACCUAUGCGGACAUCACUGAAAUGCUCAGCAAGUAAGUUCAAUCGAUCAUUAUCGCACCAUAUCGGCAACUUUUUGUUCAUUUCCUGAUAUCUCAAGUAAUAAUUAUUAUUUUCUUUGUCUUGCAGGGUUUGGAAUAAGUUCACCGCACAAGCUCCGGGACUGCCGAAGGAGCUGCGAUAUACAACUUCCAGUGAAUGUUACUGUCGUGUACAUAUUCGGUUUUCCUUAUUACUCGAGUAAGGUUAUAGUAAUGUAAUUGAUGAGUUAUGCAUGCAUGCGCAGAUUCCACUAUGUUCUUCUGAAGAUUAAGCUUGAGCGGGGAGUAGUAAACGUCUUAGACUCGAGACAAAAAGAUACCCAAACCUAUGCGGACAUGACUAAUUUGCUCAACAAGUAAGUUCAAUCGAUCAUUUAUCGCACCAUAUCGGCAACUUUUUGUUCAUUUCCUGAUAUCUCAAGCAAUAAUAAUUAUUUUCUUUGUCUUGCAGGGUUUGGAAACAGUUCACCGCAGAAGUUCCGGGACUGCCGAAGGAGCUGCGAUAUACAUACCCGAAAGUAAGUACUACUAGCUAGCUAGUUGCGCGCAUCUCCCGUUGAUUCUAUAGUUGUACUUUUAUCAAUGCCAUUUAUAAUGCUUCAUUAUCAGUUUGAUUGACCUUUAUUUCUCGUAAAGAGCUUGUGGCAGGAACAAGGGAAUGAUUUCUAUGGAUACUACGUGUGCGAGUUCAUCUACAACGCGACUUUGAAAAAUAAGCGGGGCUACUCUAAAAGACAAUAUGAAGUGCGUAAGCAAUAAUAUUCACAAUUUCAUUUUAUUACACCAUCAUUUUUGUUGAGUUUCAUUCAUAUAUGUAUUAACCCCUUCUUCAAAUUAGACGUGGCAGAUGCGGGAUGAACUCCUAGAACAAGAUUGCAUGAAAAUAAUUCAAGAGGAAUUGGCGGGAUUCUUUCUUGACCACAUCAUCAAUAAAGCCGGAGAAUACCAUGUGGAAGUUGAUUUCAAUUGCUAGGGGAUUGUAAGAGCUCUUACAUAUUGUAUACGUAUGUAUAGCCAGUAGCGUCGGAUAGACAAUACGAAAACUUGUUGUUCGACCAAUCUCUCGGAGAAGGAGAGGUCGAUCGAUCACUUCUCUCGGUAUGCAUGACGAAUUUCUGUACUUAAUGGUUCCCUUCAUUUUCUUACUAGCUAGCGUGUCGAGGGCCUCUCUAUGUACAGACGUAGCGUCGACCAAGCACAGACAUAAGAGAGGACACUUCUCUCUAUUAAUUAGCUAGCUAACACAAUAUAUGAAACACCUAAAUUAACCCCCCANNNNNNNNNNNNNNNNNNNNNNNNNNNNNNNNNNNNNNNNNNNNNNNNNNNNNNNNNNNNNNNNNNNNNNNNNNNNNNNNNNNNNNNNNNNNNNNNNNNNNNNNNNNNNNNNNNNNNNNNNNNNNNNNNNNNNNNNNNNNNNNNNNNNNNNNNNNNNNNNNNNNNNNNNNNNNNNNNNNNNNNNNNNNNNNNNNNNNNNNNNNNNNNNNNNNNNNNNNNNNNNNNNNNNNNNNNNNNNNNNNNNNNNNNNNNNNNNNNNNNNNNNNNNNNCCCCAGCCACUGAAUUGCUGACGCGUCGACGCCUUUUGAUCCCGGUUGGUGCCACCAACCGGGACCAAAGGCCCUCAUGCCUGGGCUCGGCGCACCGGCCAUGUGGAGGCACAUCUAUCCCGGUUCCUGUUAGAAUCGGGACUAAAGGGGGAGGCAUUAGUAACGAUCCUUUAGUCCCGAUUAAAGGCCCUUACGAAUCGGGACAAAUGCCCCUUUUCUACUAGUGACAACUAGUCGCUGACAUAGAGAUGACAGGCUUCGCUUGGACCGCAUGGCCCCGGCCUUGUCCAGCCCAUCCUAUGAAUGACCAUGCAGACACUAGAAUACGAGGCCAUACCACGGUAAGUAUUCAACUCCAUCGAACUCUCUUAUUGACAUCACGCCAUGCCCAUUCUUUAAAAAAAACUAGCUAAUUAAGUAAAUUCCUGUCGCCGCCGGCGGCAUGCAAGCAGUAUAGGCUCUGACUUUUGGCAGCAGUGGGAUGACAGUGCGCUGGGAGUAGUUAGGAUGGAGGACUCUCUAAGGGUGCCAGGCUGCCAGCCUGCACGCAGCAUCCUGGAUGGCCAAGAACAUGGGGCGGCGACUGGAUGAUUAUUUUGCAAGCGAUGGAUGGCCGGCAUUGGGGACCAUUAGAUUAACCAUUAGAUUAAGCCAAAAUCUGACGGUCUCAUGCUGACCAUUAAAUUAACUAAAUACUACCCAUUACGUUGAGUAGUAUGAUGUACCGUAAAAUUUCCCCAUUCAAAUCCCCCGGGCAUGGUGUCUGGAUGGAUUUGGGGGCGCAUCGGCUGCAAAUUCGAUGCCAGCGGCCGCGGGCCGUGCAUCACGGGCAAUUGUGGUGGCGUGUUGUCCUGUGCCGCCGGUGGGAAGCCACCCGCGACGCUCGCCGAGUACACGCUAGGUAAGGGCGGCAGCCCUGACUUCUAUGACAUCCCCCUCGUCGAUGGAUUCAACGUGCCCAUGAGCUUUGGGCCUAUCGGCAGCAGCUGUCACGCGAUAAUCUGUACCGCGGACAUCAACGCAAAGUGCCCGUCGGAGCUGAAGGUGGACGGAGGCUGUGUGAGUGCGUGCAUCAAGUUCGGCACCACCCAAUACUGCUGCAUGCCGCCGCUUACGCCGUCGACCUGUGGGCCGACGGACUACUCGCGCUUCUUCAAGGGGCACUGUCCGGACGCCUACAGCUACGCCUACGAGAAGAGCAGCACCUUCACAUGCCACGUCCGAUCAGACUACCAAGUCACCUUCUGCCCAUAGAGGCGAUUGGGAUUCAAUUUACUUCGAUGGUUAAGUCUGUAAUGUAAUAGCAUUUCCAAUGUAAUAAUGGAAAUAAUGAUGACUAAUGAUUCCACAAAAAAAAUCUAUUGAAAAACUUUAUUGAGAAAAAAAAUUGACAACAUUUUUUUUUCUUUUGUGAGGAUAGAAUAGUCAACUUCUUUGUUUCGAGGACGAACAUACUUCUCUCUUUAAUCCAUGUUAAAUCAGCAACAGUUAAUAUAAAUCGGAGGGAGUAUAUGAAACAAGGCAUUGGCUAUAGGCCUAGGGCCUACCCAAGUUUAGUUGCCUUUUCUGAAGAUAGUAGCUAACCGUGAAUCUCAUAUUUCCUAUAUGACGCUCGUUGCCUCGGUUUGUCUACGAGACAUUUUAUGUGACGCUCGCCAUGUCUAACAGGUGUCUAACAGUAGCGAGCUGGGCCACCGGCCCAUAAACAAAGUACUGCUGCAGUGCCUAAACACUGAUUAAUAAUCUGAACGACAAAGCUAAAUACCUGCCGACUGUUCGUUAGCGAUAGGCACGUACGAUUCGCGCGCCUCUUCUGAUUCAUCCAAGCGCUCCACUCCGCGAGAAAAGAAAGGGAAGAAAGGGCGGCCAGGACAAGAUUCGAACUCCCGACCUCCUGCAAGUGCACCACCACAGUAACCAACUAAACCAAUCUUUGUUGUUGUCAAAAGCGCCUAGACUAUGAAUGUAUUGCGUAGUGGCUCUUUGUUCAAAAUUUAAAAUGUGAACGAUUUGCUAACUUCAUGACUUAGUGGGAAGAAUCCGGAGACUAUGGCAUUGACUGCCGUGAUUUUUUUCUCUGGAUUGGAUCUGUCAUUUUUUUGGGUGCUAGGUCUAUUUGGCACGGGCCAAUAGCUCCUGUGCGACACAUUUGAGGUGAAUUGGCUUGUGUGCAACGUUGUUCGAGCGAAUGGUUGUGGUGCGACACAUUUGAGCAGGUAAAUAGCCCAGGGCCACAUGGGGUGUUAAAUGUGGUUAAAUUGGUCGUCAACGAAGCCCGUUUAUGUUAGGACAUGUGGGUCCAACUUAAUUGCUCCUCAAAACAGCUGACCGUGCCGGGCCAGCCACUCUGCCCUCUCCCCCCCUUCUUCUCCGGUGGCGGCGGAUCUUGCGUUCUCGGUGGCGGCGGCGGAGCACUCGUUCUCAACGGCGGCGAAGCCUUCGUCCUGAAAAAAUGGUGAGUGAGAACCCUAGUCCCCCUCCCAUUCCUCUCUUGUCCCCGUAGAUCUCAGCUCGUUUCCUCUGUUUUUGCUUGUUGAAUCGAUAGGUUGUGAGGGGAGCCCGUGGGCAUACUGAGAUGGAGCCGCCAGAUUCAACUUCGAAUAGGUAAUGCGCCUCUCUCCGAUCCAAUUUUGCAUGCAAUUAGGGCCUAGUCUGCUCUUUCUCACGGGCUCACAGUGUCCGCCACUGACAGAGGGGAUGCUGCCGCUCGGACCUUCGAAUUGACGGUCAAUUUCUUUCCAUCAAAGGCAAAAUUAGUUGAUGGUAGCAUUCAGAACAUUGAGAGAGACACAAUUGUUAAAUGGGAGGUUGAGUUUACAGAGAUUGAUCCACAAGUUCUACAGAACAUGGGAGAGAAGGCAGUGAAGAAAUUGGUGGAAAAAAUUGAGGAGAAUGUUGUUUGAGGUCCAGAGCAAGAAGUAUCACUAUUGCGGUUUGAUGAUUGGAAAGGAGAGUAUGUGAGAAUGGAAGAUGGUGAACAGAUUGUUGAUGAAAUCGAUCGGCAAAACAGCUGGACAAGCAAACGAGCUAAUUUUUUUGCUGAGCUGGUUGAUCUGAAUAUUUUUUCGAAGGUUGGAUAUGUGCCAUCACAAUUGGCUGCGCAGAUGGUAGAUCAUGAUUGGGCUACACAAAGGCCAUUGAUUCCCAUGUGUACUGAACUUACAGUAAUAGCCGAAGAGGGACAGGUGACUAGAACUGAAACUGAAACUGCAGCAACUGUUAAUUGGAAUGUAGUUGAAUUAGAUGAGUCUACUAAUUUGGUCAUUGCACCAAUGCCUGACAUUGAGAUGGCCAAACUUUUUGGCAUUCCAGUCGAUGACAGAGAUAAGCAGGAGAGGGGCGAAUCUAGUUUGCUUGCUAAUGCUGAUGAAGAUGUAGAUGGACAAUUGAUGGAACAAGCUGUAGAUGAAGUAGAUGAUGCACAUGAUGAUGAGCUGGUGCAUGUGCAUGACAAAGAAAACCCUGUCAUUGAAGUAGGCAAGUUGUUCCCAAGCAUGAAGGAGUUUAGGAUGUGUUUCAAGACUUAUGCUGUGAAACAUGAGUUUGAUGCCAAGACUAUUUGGACUGAUAGAAAGAAGUUUUAUGCGAGGUGCAGAGGAUUUGAUGGUAGUGUCAAGCCUUGCAAGUGGUACAUAUCUGCUAGACUGCAACCUGAUGGAAGUACUGUCAGGGUUAACCAAAUCCCCAAUCAACAUACUUGUAUUACAAGUUCACAGAGAGUAUCAACCAUGACAUCACAACUUUGGGUUGCAGAAAAGAUCACCCCAAUUUUAGCCAAAACACCAAACACUACUGCCAAGAAACUCAAAGUAGACUUGGAAAAGAUGUACCCCAUUAAACUGAAAUAUACCACAGUGUGGAAGGCAAAACAAAGGACAAUGAAAAAUUUAUAUGGUGAUUGGGCAAAUACAUUUAGGAUGCUUUACAACUUCAAAGCAGAGGUGGAAAAGAGGUCACCUGGUAGUGUUGUGGAGAUAGAUACAGAGGUAUCAUCCAAAGGUGAAGUCAAGUUCUCCAAGUUUUUAAUGGCUUUGAAGCCUUGCAUAGAUGGCUUCAAAGCAGGGUGCCGUCCAUAUUUGAGCAUAGACUCAUCAUUUUUGACAAGCAAGUGGAAUGGUCAGUUGGCAGCAUGCAAUGCUCUAGAUGGACACAACUGGAUGUUUCCUAUUGAUGUUGGCUUGUUUCAGUCAGAAAGAGAGGCUUCAUGGACAUGGUUCAUGAUCCAGUUGAAAAGAUGCCUAGGGCCAGUGCCACCUUUGGCUAUACACACAUAUGCAUGUAAGGGGCUUGAAAAUUUAGUUAAAAAUGUUUCCAUGUGUCCUCCCUUGACGAAAAGAAAGGCUGGCAUGCCUAAACAGAGUAGAUUCAAGGCAUGGUUUGAGAAAGGUGGGAAUAGUAAGAAGGGAAAGAAAGAUGAAAAGCCAAAAAGGGCCCAAAAAGGUAACAAAAACAGAUGCAAGUUGUGCCAGGAACUUGGGCACAGAGUGGGAUCUGUCAAAUGCCGUUACACUCCUGAUAAGCCAAAGUAUGUUCUUGUUUAUUUGUCUGUGUUUUGAUUUGGUGCUUUUUUCCAAUUACUAUAUCUAUAACAUUUUCUGCACAGGAGGAAGCGAGCAAGUCAGCCCCUUGUUGUUGAACAGUGUUGGACAACAAAAAAAGCAAGAGCCAAUGGCGGUAGAAAGAAGAGAAGUGUGUCUAAGCCUGAGCAGACUGAAGAAAAUCCUACUGCAGUCAAUAUUCAAACUGAACAAACUGAUGUGGAGGUGCACACCGAAGAAACUGAACCUGAGCGUGUCGAGGUUCAUACUGAAGAAAAUGAACCUGAGCGUGUUGAGGUUCAGACUGAAGAAACCCAUGUUGAGGUACACACCAAAGAAACUGAAACUGGUGUCAACAUUGAGACUGAAGACACUGAUCACGAGGGUAUUGGCGAGGUGUUGAAAAGACCAGUGAUGAAAACCAAGAUGAUCAGUGAACUUGUGUGUGUAGUAGAACCAAAACAAUAAGGGCUAAGGCGAAGAAGGGCACACGACGUGGUAGGAAGAAGUAGAACAGAGAACGGUUUGAAAAUUUGGGACAUAAUAAGACUAUGUGCGCAAGUUUUAUAUGUUUUUGAUUUUUCUGAAUUAGUUAUGCUCAACCCUAAUCAGUCAAAACCCCUCAAAACCCCUCUCAAAACCCCUCAAAACCCCGCACACUACCUGGUCGUCGAUCGUUGUGCGUGGACGGUUGAGAUCAGGCGCUAGGGUUAGGGCAUCUCCAGCCGCGCCCCCAACAGGCCCUCCCGAGGCGAUUUUGCCGCGCCGGCGUCAAAAAAAGGCCCUAGUCGCACCCCCAGAAGCCCGUUUUUCGCCGGCUCGGGCCAAAACUGGUGGCGGCGGACCCAGGCCGAACCCAGCGCCCUGGGGGGCGCUUGGGGAGCCGGCACAAGCGAAAAAGGCACGUGGGCCCGCCCUGGAAGCGACCCGAGGGCCUUUUCCCGCCGUUUCUUGACGCUUUUCCCUCGCAUCUCUCCCGCUCGCUCGCCUUCCUCCCGCCAUUCUCUCCCUUUCUCCCGCCAAACCCCCUCCCGCUCGCCACGAAGAAGCACGCCAUGCCGCCGAAGAAGUACGCCAUGCCGCGCGCGGCGGCAACCGCGACUGGCGCCGUGGCCCAGCCGAAGCAGAGGAAGCCGAGAGCGCCGCCAUCGAAGCCACCGGGCCUGUCGAACGCCGAGUGGAGGGUGGAAGUUCAGCGGCGCGAAGCAGUCACCGCCGACAGGCGGAACAGGGCCAUAGCCAAGAAGGCCCGCGAAAUGCGGCGCGCGCGGCGGCGUCUUCCUCAUCGGUCAACCAGGCGGGGAUGAAUCCACCCGUCGUCAGCCACGCCCAGUACGCGCCCGGGGGACAGCAAGGCGCCGGAUUUCCAUGGGGUUCAUCGUCGCCCGGCUACGCCGACGGCGACACACGCGGUGGGUUCAACCCAAACGUGACCUUCCCCCAUGGUCACCCCGCUACACGCACGCCCUCGCUCGCCUUCGUCGGCGUGCAGUACCCUCCAUACAACUACUCGCCGCCCGCCGCCGACGCGUCCACACCGACGCCCCAUCUCUACCGCGGACCGCUACCCUUCUCGCACCUCGGCGACGCCGACGACACAGGAGCCGACAUGGACGACAUCAUCGCAAGAGGAUCGACCGCGGCCGCCGCGUCUCCCGGGUUCGCCACCCAGGACGAGGUAGUGGACCUCAGCGGCGACAUGGAGGCCGAGCUCGGCUACAUCUACGGCGACGACGCGUAGGAACCCGACGAGGAGGAGGACGAUGAGGAGGAGGAGGAGGAGGAGGAGCCGGCUCCUGUUCCGACGAAGGGGCGCCAGAAGAAGAAGCAGCGGGCGGCUAGGUCAGGCGAACCGCGCAUCAAGUGGAUGUCCAAGGAGGAGGAAUGCCUCGCCGAAGCAUGGAAAGUCGUCUGCCUCAACCCGACCACCGGCGCGAACCAGAGCUUGGACAUGUACUAGGACCGCAUCAAGGCCGAGUUCGACGAGCGGAAGCUCGUCGACCCCUACUUCAAAGGCGUCUACAUGCAGCGCGGCUCCAAGGCGAUGGCGAACCAUUGGGGGCGUAUCCAGUUGGCGUGCAACAAAUGGCAUGGAAUCGUCGAGGAGGUCGCGGCUCGCCCGGAGAGCGGCGCUAGCGUUGAGGAUCAGGUACGCACGCCGUUCCCCGCAUAUCUUCGUCCCCUACGCCCGCCGCCCGCCAACUGUUUGUCCCUUCGCGCAGCUGCUGCGUAUGUUCGCCAUGUAUCAGGGCGACAACCAAGACGCCGACUUCAAGCACCUCCACGUCUACAAGCGCAUUGACAAGUGCGAGAAGUGGGCGGAAGUCUGAUGUGCCCUCGACAAGGCCACGGAAACAUACAAGCCAGACGCGACGACUCCGGGCGCGUCAGAGGGACGGCCGGACGGCCACAAAUUGGCAAAGAAGGGGAAAAGCGCCGACGCGGCAUCCGCGCGAGUGCAGGAGUCCAUCGAGCAUUGCCUCGCCGACGCCCAGGCCCGGGCCGUCCUACGCGAAGAGAAGACCGAGGCGCGGUGGUCGUCGCUAAUGAAGAACAACGCCAUCAAGCUCGACCUGCUCCGGAUGAACGUCGCCGCGAAGAAGAGGAACACCGACAUGGCUUUUCUGAUGAGCGGGGCGGACAUGCUCCAGAGCAACGACGAGAAGCUCAUGGCGUGGUACCUGGUGCAGCGCGUCCUCAUCCUGAAUGAGCUGCCGACGGCAACGCCGACGACGCCCACGACGCCCACGACCACACGGACGCCAAGCCCGAACGAUGCCUCUAGAUCUCCGCCCAGCAGUGCCGAAGCCGCGCCGACGCAGCCUAGCACUGAACCAGCUCCGACACCGACGAGCCCGCGCACGCCGACUCCACCAACUCCUGGAGCCGACCCCGCCGAGUGAAUCGUUGUGCACGCGAACUUGCGGCGGCGGCUCUCUGUUUUUUGUAACGCCAGACUACGUCCGAUCGCCGGAUUUGCGGCGUCUUUUGAGAGCGGGAACGACCAAGUUUAAAUUUCCCGCAUCCUGGGGCCGGCGCGUGGGGGCGUGACUGGGAGCUAGGUCGCCCCCAGGGGCCGAACUAGCGCCGGCACGCCCCCAGGCCGCUCUAUUUAGGCUUCCUGGGGGACCGAACGGCUGGAGAUGCCAUUAGCUACAGUGUGCAACGAUCCGCAUGAGACACGCUGAUUGGUUGACGCGGUGGGGUUUGGAUCAGCCUCUCUCGUUGGGGCAUCAUGACCGUUCAUUCGAAUCCAACGGCAAGAGUUAACGCGGUGCAUGAACCAAGCCUACGCAGUGCCCUUUCCAUCGUUGCGUGCGUGCCCGUGCCGGCCACAGCAUGCAUGCCCACCCGCAAAACUGCGCCCGUGCGUUGCAUGCAUGCCUCGACGUAGCCCUGCUCCGCCACCCCUACCGACAGAGUAAGCUGUCGCAUGCCUACCAUGAGAACCAAUGCAGCGUCGCAUCAAAGCAUGCACCCGGCCACAAUGCAGCAGCCCGAUGAAGACAACCAAAAAGCCAACACUGCAUGGCGUGGUGUGCACGUUGUGCAUGGCGUGCUCCUCUUUGAGGAUGCAGUACUGGCAUGGGGUACCGAUGUGGGUAUCGAUGCAGUUCAAAUGGCGUGUUGCCCGUUACAAGAUGGGCAAAAGAAGGCGUCCAUUAUUGUCACAUCUCCCAUCGACCGAACCUUGCCCUCUAGCCAGGCCCUAGCAAGAUGAGCAAAUUAAUGGGCUACGACAUGCAUGCACGGGCGGCACACGCAGAGAACCCGAGGAAGGCGUGUCCCCUUGACCCACGAUACCACAGACGCGUGCGUGAGCCCGUCCCCCUUGACCCGCGACCGGUGGCACAGAAGCGUCGCAGUCUGUUUCCCACGGCCACGCUCGUGUACACACUUUCAUGGGGCGCCACCAAACGCCGCCCGCCCAUUAAUUCUAGGGUUUCGACGGGGCGAAACCAUGCCGCACUUGGGCUAUUUAAGCCGGGCACUAUGGUCCUCUCCCUCCUCAUCCAUCAUACCCCAUCCUCUGCCUCCUCUGCCCUUCUUCUUCCUUCUUCUCCAUCAAACCCGACCGAGCACUCGAGCCACCCCGCCACCAUGCAGUACACUGCCCCCACCUACCGUUCCCCCCAACUGUGCCGGAAAGGCUCUACCCGGCCGGAGUGUAUGUAGAGAGAACCCUUAGGGUUUGGGCAAUCUCGAGGUGGAGGGGCGCAAGGGAGUUAACAGAGUUCUUCCUUGCGGCCGGCUUCCGCCACCUCCCCCGCGGCUCUCCUUGGAUGUACCAUGUUGAGGAGGUUAACCACAACGGUGUUGUGGUUGGGCUCCUCGCCACGUUCACUAACCCUUUCAAUGCUUUCCAUCUUCUCGGGCGAGCGUAUUGGGUUGGUUGUGAGUUCAUAGCUUUCACCACCUACAAUAUCUUCACCGACUUCCAGAGCAUCUUCCCCAACAACGGCGUUAUGCACACGCUUCCGUACCCCACCAACAACAGGGAGGAGUGAACGGCGGCGCUCGGAGGAACGAGGUGGCGUUGUUCCCUCCGAGGAGGGGGCGCCCCAGAGGAGGAGAGGAGAAGAGCCCGAAGAAGAACCCGCGUUUGGUGCCCCCGAUCUAUCUAGCUUAUCGUACUAGUUUUUUUAAGUAGUAAUUGUUAUGCUACUAUUAUUAAGUUGUAUUAGUAUUUUAAGUUGUAAGGCUAUCAUGGAGUUGUAAGGCUAUCGUGGAACUAUGGGUUGCAAUCAUUAUGAUACUAUAUAUAUUGUGUUGGAAAUAUGCCCUAGAGGCAAUAAUAAAAGGAUUAUUAUUAUUAUUUCCUUGUUCAUGAUAAUUGUCUUUUAUUCAUGCUAUAACUGUAUUAUCCGGAAAUUGUAAUACACGUGUGAAUACAUAGACCAUAACAUGUCCCUAGUGAGCCUCUAGUUGACUAGCUCGUUGGUCGACAUAUAGUCAUGGUUUCCUGACUAUGGACAUUAGAUGUCAUUGACAACGGGAUCACAUCAUUAGGAGAAUGAUGUGAUGGACGAGACCCAAUCCUAAGCAUAGCACAAGAUCGUGUAGUUCGUUUUGCUAGAGCUUUUCCAAUGUCAAGUAUCUCUUCCUUAGAGCAUGAGAUCGUGUAACUCCCGGAUACCGUAAGAGUUCUUUGGAUGUACCAAACGUCACAACGUAACUGGGUGACUAUAAAGGUGCACUACAGGUAUCUCCGAAAGUGUCUGUUGGGUUGACACGGAUCGAGACUGGGAUUUGUCACUCCAUAUGACGGAGAGGUAUCUCUGGGCCCACUCGGUAAUGCAUCAUCACAAUGAGCUCAAAGUGACCAAGUGUUUGGUCUCGGGAUCAUGCAUUAUGGUACGAGUAAAGUGACUUGCCGGUAACGAGACUGAACGAGGUAUUGGGAUACCGAUUAUCGAGUCUCGGGCAUGUAACGUACCGAAUGACAAAGGGAAUUGUAUACGGGGUUGUUUGAAUCCUCGACAUCGCGGUUCAUCCGAUGAGAUCAUCGAGGAGCAUGUGGGAGCCAAUAUGGGUAUCCAGAUCCCGCUGUUGGUUAUUGCCCGAGAGCCGUCACGGUCAUGUCUACGUGUCUCCCGAACCCGUAGGGUCUACACACUUAAGGUUCGGUGACGCUAGGGUUGUAUGAAUAUAAGUAUGCAGUAUACCGAAUGUUGUUCGGAGUCCCGGAUGAGAUCCCGGACGUCACGAGGAGUUUCGGAAUGGUCCGGAGGUAAAGAAUUAUAUAUAGGAAGUGGUAUUUCGGCCAUCGGGAAAGUUUCGGGGUCACCCGGUAUUGUACCGGGACCACCGGAAGGGUCCCGGGGGUCCACCGGGUGGGGCCACCCAUCCCGGAGGGCCCCAUGGGCUGAAGUGGGAGGAGAGCCAGCCCAUAGUGGGCUGGUGCGCCCCCCUAGGCCCACCCCUGCGCCUAGGGUUGAAACCCUAGGGUGGGGGGGGGCGCACCACAUGCCUUGGGGGCACUCCUCCCCCCUUGGCCACCGCCCCCUUGGGAGAUUGAAUCUCCAAGGGCCGGCGCCCCACCUUGGGGGCCUAUAUAAAGGGAGGGGGGAGAGGGGCAGCCGCACCCUGAAGUCCUGGCGCCCCCUCCCCCUGCUACACCUCUUCCUCCUCCGUCACGUGCUUGGCGAAGCCCUGCCGGAGUGCUGUUGUUCCACCACCACCACGCCGUUGUGCUGCUGCUGGAGCCAUCAUCAUCAACCUCUCCUCCCCCCUUGCUGGAUCAAGAAGGAGGAGACGUCACACGCACCGUACGUGUGUUGAACACGGAGGUGCCGUUCGUUCGGCGCUAGGAUCUCCGGUGAUCUGAAUCAUGGCGAGUACGACUCCAUCAUCACCGCUCCAUCUAACGCUUCCGUACGCGAUCUACAAGUGGUAUGUAGAUGCAAACUCACUCCCUUGACUCGUUGCUUAGAUGAACUCAUAGAUGGAUCUUGGUGAAACCGUAGGAAAAAUUUUAAUUUUCUGCUAUGUUCCCCAACAGUGGCAUCAUGAGCUAGGUCUAUGCGUAGUUCUCUAUUGCACGAGUAGAACACAAUUUUGUUGUGGGCGUAGAUCUUGUCAACUUGCUUGCCGCUACUAGUCUUAUCUUGCUUCAGCGGUAUUGUGGGAUGAAGUGGCCCGGACCAACCUUACACGUACGCUUAUGUGAGACCGGUUCCACCGACUAACAUGCACUAGUUGCAUAAGGUGGCUGGCGGGUGUCUGUCUCUCCCACUUUAGUUGGAGCAGAUUCGAUGAAAAGGGUCCUUAUGAAGGGUAAAUCGAAGUUGACAAAAUCACGUUGUGGUUAUUCGUAGGUAAGAAAACGUUCUUGCUAGAACCCAAUUGCAGCCACGUAAAAGAUGCAACAACAAUUAGAGGACGUCUAACUUGUUUUUGCAGCAAUUAUCAUGUGAUGUGAUAUGGCCAGAAGUUGUGAUGAAUGAUGAAUGAUAUAUUGUGAUGUAUGAGAUCAUGUUCUUGUAAUAUGAAUCACGACUUGCAUGUCGAUGAGUAUGACAACCGGCAGGAGCCAUAGGAGUUGUCUUUAUUUUUGUAUGACCUGCGUGUCAUUGAAGAACGCCAUGUAAACUACUUUACUUUAUUACUAAACACGUUAGUAGCAGUAGUCGUUGGCGUGACAACUUCAUGAAGACAUGAUGAUGGAGAUCAUGGUGUCAUACCGGUGACAAGAUGAUCAUGGAGCCCCGAAGAGGAAGAUCAAAGGAGCUAUAUGAUAUUUGCCAUAUCAUGUCACUACUUUAUAUAAUUGCAUGUGAUGUUUAUUAUGUUUUAUGCAUCUUGUUUACUUAGAACGACGGUAGUAAAUAAGAUGAUCCCUUACAACAAUUUCAAGAAGUGUUCUUCCCUAACUGUGCACCGUUGCUAAAGUUCGUCGUUUCGAAGCACCACGUGAUGAUCGGGUGUGAUAGAUCCUUACGUUCACAUACAACGGGUGUAAGACAGUUUUACACGUGCAAAACACUUAGGGUUAACUUGACGAGCCUAGCAUGUACAGACAUGGCCUCGGAACACGGAGACCGAAAGGUCGAACACGAGUCGUAUGGAAGAUACGGUCAACAUGAGAAUGUUCACCGACGAUGACUAGUCCGUCUCACGUGAUGAUCGGACACGGCCUAGUCGACUCAGAUCGUGUAACACUUAGAUGACCAAGAGGAUGGCAAAUCUGAGUGGAAGUUCAUUAAAAUAAUUUGAUUAGAUGAACUUAAUUAUCAUGAACUUAGUCUAAAAUCUUUGCAAAAUAUGUCUUGUAGAUCAAAUGGCCAACGCUCAUGUCAACAUGAACUUCAACGCGUUCCUAGAGAAAACCAAGCUGAAAGAUGAUGGCAGCAACUAUACGGACUGGGUCCGGAACCUUAGGAUCAUCCUCAUAGCUGCCAAGAAAGCAUAUGUCCUUGAAGCACCGUUAGGUGACCCACCUGCUCUCCCAGCACUGCAAGACGAUUUGAACGUUUGGCAGACACGUGCUGAUGAUUACUCCCUCAUUCAGUGCGGCAUGCUUUACAGCUUAGAACCGGGGCUCCAAAAGCGUUUUGAGCAACACGGAGCAUAUGAGAUGUUCGAGGAGCUGAAACUAGUUUUCCAAGCUCAUGCCCGGGUCGAGAGAUAUGAAGUCUCCGACAAGUUCUAUAGUUGUAAGAUGGAGGAAAACAGUUCUGUCAGUGAGCAUAUACUCGAAAUGUCUAGGUUGCACAGCCGCCUGUCCCAGCUGGACAUUAACCUCCCGGAUGAGGCGGUCAUUGACAGAAUCCUUCAGUCGCUCCCACCAAGCUACAAGAGCUUUGUGAUGAACUAUAAUAUGUAGGGGAUGGUGAAGACCAUUCCUGAAGUAUUUUCAAUGCUGAAGUCGGCAGAGGUUGAAAUCAAGAAAGAACAUCAAGUGUUGAUGGUCAAUAAGACCACUAAGUUCAAGAAGGGCAAGGGUAAGAAGAACUUCAAGAAGGACGGCAAAGAUGUUGCCGCGCCCGGUAAGCCAGUUUCCAGGAAGAAGUCAAAGAAUGGACCCAAGCCUGAGACUGAGUGCUUUUAUUGCAAGGGGAAGGGUCACUGGAAGCGGAACUGCCCCAAAUACUGAGCGGAUAAGAAGGCCGGCAACACUAAAGGUAUAUUUGAUAUACAUGUAAUUGAUGUGUACCUUACUAGUACUCGUAGUAACUCUUGGGUAUUUGAUACCGGUGUUGUUGCUCAUAUUUGUAACUCACAGUAGGAGCUGCGGAAUAAGCGGAGACUGGCGAAGAACGAGGUGACGAUGCGCGUCGGGAAUGGUUCCAAGGUCGAUGUGAUCGCCGUCGGCACGCUACCUCUACAUUUACCUACGGGAUUAGUUAUAAACCUUAAUAAUUGUUAUUUGGUGCCAAGUUUGAGCAUGAACAUUGUAUCUGGAUCUCGUUUGAUACGAGAUGGCUACUCAUUUAAAUCCGAGAAUAAUGGUUGUUCUAUUUAUAUGAGAGAUAUGUUUUAUGGUCGUGCCCCUAUGGUCAAUGGUUUAUUCUUAAUGAAUCUCGAGCGUAAUGUUACACAUAUUCAUAGCGUGAAUACCAAAAGAUGUAAAGUUGAUAAUGAUAGUCCCACAUACUUGUGGCACUGCCGCCUUGGUCACAUUGGUGUCAAGCGCAUGAAGAAGCUCCAUGCUGAUGGACUUUUGGAGUCUCUCGAUUAUGAAUCAUUUGACACAUGCGAACCAUGCCUCAUGGGCAAGAUGACAAAGACUCCGUUCUCCAGAACAAUGGAGCGAGCAACCAACUUGUUGGAAAUCAUACAUACCGAUGUGUGCGGUCCAAUGAGCGUUGAGGCUCAUGGAGGAUAUCGUUAUGUUCUCACUCUCACUGAUGACUUGAGUAGAUAUGGGUAUGUCUACUUGAUGAAACACAAGUCUAAGACCUUUGAAAAGUUCAAGGAAUUUCAGAAUGAGGUAGAGAAUCAACGUGACCAAAAGAUAAAAUUCUUACGAUCGGAUCGUGGAGGAGAAUAUUUAAGUCACGAAUUUGGUACACACUUAAGAAAAUGUGGAAUCGUUUCACAACUCACGCCACCUAGAACACCUCAGCGUAACGGUGUGUCCGAACGUCGUAAUCGCACUCUAUUGGAUAUGGUGCGGUCUAUGAUGUCUCUUACCGAUUUACCGCUAUCAUUUUGGGGAUACGCUCUAGAGACAGCUACAUUCACUUUAAAUAGGGCACCGUCUAAAUCCGUUGAGACGACAUUGUAUGAAUUAUGGUUUGGGAAGAAACCUAAGCUGACGUUUCUAAAAGUUUGGGGAUGCGAUGCUUAUGUCAAGAAACUUCAACCUGAAAAGCUCGAACCCAAGUCGGAAAAAUGUGUCUUCAUAGGAUACCCUAAAGAAACCAUUGGGUAUACCUUCUACUUAAGAUCCGAGGGCAAGAUCUUUGUUGCCAAGAACGGAUCCUUUCUGGAAAAAUAGUUUCUCUCGAAAGAACUAAGUGGGAGGAAAGUAGAACUCGAUGAAGUACUACCUCUUGAACAAGAUAGCAGUACAGCUCAGGAAAAUGUUCCUGUGAUGCCUACACCAACUGAAGAGGAAAUUAAUGAUGAUGAUCAAGGUACUUCGGGUCAAGUUGCUAUUGAACUUCGUAGGUCCACAAGGACACGUUCCGCACCAGAUUGGUACGGCAACCCUGUCCUAGAAAUCAUGUUGUUAGACAAUGGUGAACCUUCGAACUAUGAAGAAGCAAUGGCGGGCCCAGAUUCCAACAAAUGGCUAGAAGCCAUGAAAUCCGAGAUAGAAUCCAUGUAUGAAAACAAAGUAUGGACUUUGACUGACUUGCCCGAUGAUCGGCGAGCGGUAGAAAACAAAUGGAUCUUUAAGAAAAAGACGGACGCAGAUGGUAAUGUCACCAUCUAUAAAGCUCGACUUGUCACUAAGGGUUAUCGGCAAGUUCAAGGGAUUGACUACGAUGAGACUUUCUCUCCCGUAGCGAAGCUUAAGUCCGUCCGAGUCAUGUUAGCAAUUGCCGCAUACUAUGAUUAUGAGAUAUGGCAGAUGGACGUCAAAACGGCAUUCCUCAACGGUUAUCUUAAGGAAGAGCUGUAUAUGAUGCAGCCGGAAGGUUUUGUUGAUCCUAAGAAUGCUAACAAAGUAUGCAAGCUCCAGCGAUCCAUUUAUGGGCUGGUGCAAGCAUCUCGGAGUUGGAACAUUCGCUUUGAUGAGAUGAUCAAAGCGUUUGGGUUUAUGCAGACUUAUGGAGACGCCUGCGUUUACAAGAAAGUGAGUGGGAGCUCUAUAGCAUUUCUCAUAUUAUAUGUAGAUGACAUACUUUUGAUGGGAAAUGAUAUAGAAUUCUUGGACAGCAUUAAGGCCUACUUGAAUAAGUGUUUUUCAAUGAAGGACCUUGGAGAAGCUGCUUACAUAUUAGGCAUCAAGAUCUAUAGGGAUAGAUCGAGAUGCCUCAUAGGUCUUUCACAGAGCACAUACCUUGAUAAGAUUUUGAAGAAGUUCAAAAUGGAUCCAAGAAAGGGUUCUUGCCUGUAUUGCAAGGUGUGAGAUUGAGCUCGGCUCAAUGCCCGACCACGGCAAAAGAUAAAGAAGAGAUGAGCGUCAUCCCCUAUGCCUCAGCCAUAGGAUCUAUUAUGUAUGCCAUGCUUGUAUCAGAACUGAUGUAAACCUUGCCGUAAGUUUGGUAGGGAGGUACCAAAGUAAUCCCGGCAAGGAACACUGGACAGCGGUCAAGAAUAUCCUGAAGUACCUGAAAAGGACAAAGGACAUGUUUCUCAUUUAUGGAGGUGACGAAGAGCUCGUCGUAAAGGGUUACAUCGACGCUAGCUUCGACACAGAUCUGGAUGACUCUAAGUCACAAACCGGAUAUGUGUAUAUGGUGAAUGGUGGAGCAGUAAGCUGGUGCAGCUGCAAGCAGAGCGUCGUGGCGGGAUCUACAUGUGAAGCGGAGUACAUGGCAGCCUCGGAGGCAGCGCAUGAAGCUAUUUGGGUGAAGGAGUUCAUCACCGACCUAGGAGUCAUACCCAAUGCGUCGGGGCCGAUCAACCUCUUCUGUGACAACACUGGAGCUAUUGCCCUUGCCAUGGAGCCCAGGUUUCACAAGAAGACCAGGCACAUCAAGCGUCGUUUCAACUCCAUCCGUGAAAAUGUUCAAGAUGGAGACAUAGAUAUUUGCGAAGUACAUACGGAUCUGAAUGUCGCAGAUCCGUUGACUAAACCUCUCUCGCGAGCAAAACAUGAUCAACACCAGUACUCUAUGGGUGUUCAAUUCAUCACAAUGUAACUAGAUUAUUGACUCUAGUGCAAGUGGGAGACUGUUGGAAAUAUGCCCUAGAGGCAAUAAUAAAAGGAUUAUUAUUAUUAUUUCCUUGUUCAUGAUAAUUGUCUUUUAUUCAUGCUAUAACUGUAUUAUCCGGAAAUCGUAAUACACGUGUGAAUACAUAGACCAUAACAUGUCCCUAGUGAGCCUCUAGUUGACUAGCUCGUUGGUCGACAGAUAGUCAUGGUUUCCUGACUAUGGACAUUAGAUGUCAUUGACAACGGGAUCACAUCAUUAGGAGAAUGAUGUGAUGGACGAGACCCAAUCCUAAGCAUAGCACAAGAUCGUGUAGUUCGUUUUGCUAGAGCUUUUCCAAUGUCAAGUAUCUCUUCCUUAGACCAUGAGAUCUUGUAACUCCCGGAUACCGUAAGAGUGCUUUGGGUGUACCAAACGUCACAACGUAACUGGGUGACUAUAAAGGUGCACUACAGGUAUCUCCGAAAGUGUCUGUUGGGUUGACACGGAUCGAGACUGGGAUUUGUCACUCCGUAUGACGGAGAGGUAUCUCUGGGCCCACUCGGUAAUGCAUCAUCACAAUGAGCUCAAAGUGACCAAGUGUUUGGUCACGGGAUCAUGCAUUACGGUACGAGUAAAGUGACUUGCCGGUAACGAGACUGAACGAGGUAUUGGGAUACCGAUGAUUGAGUCUCGGGCAUGUAACGUACUGAAUGACAAAGGGAAUUGUAUACGGGGUUGUUCGAAUCCUCGACAUCGCGGUUCAUCCGAUGAGAUCAUCGAGGAGCAUGUGGGAGCCAACAUGGGUAUCCAGAUCCCGCUGUUGGUUAUUCCCCAAGAGCCAUCUCGGUCAUGUCUACGUGUCUCCCGAACCCGUAGGGUCUACACACUUAAGGUUCAGUGACGCUAGGGUUGUAUGAAUAUAAGUAUGUAGUAUACCGAAUGUUGCUCGGAGUCCCGGAUGAGAUCCUGGACGUCACGAGGAGUUUCGGAAUGGUCUGGAGGUAAAGAAUUAUAUAUAGGAAGUGGUAUUUCGGCCAUCGGAAAAGUUUCGGGGUCACCCGGUAUUGUACCGGGACCACCGAAAGGGUCCCGGGGGUCCACCGGGUGGGGCCACCCAUCCCGGAGGGCCCCAUGGGCUGAAGUGGGAGGGGAGCCAGCCCAUAGUGGGCUGGUGCGCCCCCCUAGGCCCACCCCUGCUCCUAGGGUUGAAACCCUAGGGUGGGGGGGGGCGCACCACAUGCCUUGGGGGGCACUCCUCCCCCCUUGGCCGCCGCCCCCUUGCGAGAUUGAAUCUCCCAGGGCUGGCGCCCCCCCUUGGGGGCCUAUAUAAAGGGAGGGGGGAGAGGGGCAGCCACACCCUGAAGUCCUGGCGCCCCCUCCCCCUGCUACACCUCUUCCUCCUCCGUCACGUGCUUGGCGAAGCCCUGCCGGAGUGCUGCUGUUCCACCACCACCACGCCGUUGUGCUGCUGCUGGAGCCAUCAUCAUCAACCUCUCCUCCCCCCUUGCUGGAUCAAGAAGGAGGAGACGUCACACGCACCGUACGUGUGUUGAACGCGGAGGUGCCGUCCGUUCGGCGCUAGGAUCUCCGGUGAUCUGAAUCACAGCGAGUACGACUCCAUCAUCACCGCUCCAUCUAACGCUUCCGUACGCGAUCUACAAGUGGUAUGUAGAUGCAAACUCACUCCCUUGACUCGUUGCUUAGAUGAACUCAUAGAUGGAUCUUGGUGAAACCGUAGGAAAUUUUUUAAUUUUCUGCAACGUUCCCCAACAUAUUGUGUGUUUCGUGCUAUUAUUUGAAGAUUGCUAUGUGUUGUUCUUGCUUAUUAUUUGUGUAUUGCUAUGGGUUGCUAUGAGCCCGGGUUGCUACACCUCAAUCUCACCACACACACCAUCUUCAAAAUAUUGGCCAAACCAUGGACAUGCAACUAGGAGCCCCAUGCAAACCCACGGGCCCGCAAACCCACUAUGGACAUGCAACUACGAAAUGCAAACUAAUUUACUUCAUGCAACUCAUUUAGUUCAUGGAACCGUAGACAUGCAUAAAAACAAUUAACAUUUGGUUUUAUUGCAUCAAAAAAUGAUCCAUCACAAAAUUUAGUGCAAGAAAAAGGCCAAAGUAAAAACAUGUAACAUUUUAUUUGCAGAAGUUAGAGGUGGGCUAGUGUCGCUGCGCGGGUGGGCUGGUCUCCUUGAGCCCGGUCUCCUUACGGCCCAACAUCUAUUGGGCAGCCCAGUUUUGUUUUUUACUAGAAACUGAAUUUGGGUGUGUACUCUGUUAACUGAAGAACAAAAACAGGGGAAACAGAGCAUGAACACUGAAUAAUUUGUGUUCCAAAUUGCUGCUUCAAUUCAGACACAUUACUUGCACACAGAUCACCUCCUCUACCCUGACAGGCCUAAAUGCCCAUUCUAAUGACGGAUGAACAACAAAUAAAACAAAAACAGAGCAAUGAUACGACAAUAGAACCCCCCUGCCAUGAUAUUUGUUUGCUUCUGCAAAUCGAUCAUCUGCAUUAGAUGUUUCUUGAUCUUCUUGAGUUCCUCGGUCAGUUCGGACUCCGCAUGCAGUUCAGCAUUGCGCGCAUACAUCGCCAUCGGCACGACUCUGCCUGCCCCUCCGCCCGAGCUCGCCGCAUUCUCCACAGCAAUCGGCGGCACCCCGCCCAAAUUGAGCUCCCAGGUUGCGGCCACGCUCGAAUCAACGUAGCCCUCAAACUGAAUCCUAUCAACAUAUUCAUCAAUCCACUCGAAAUGGUAACAUUUCUUCAAGAUCCGAAAAGAACAACAUGAACCCUAAAUCACAAAUUCGAGGAGAAAAAACAAAAUAUGGAAAAAUCAGAGCAAAAGAUAGCGAAAGAACGGGCUAAGAACUAAGAUCUAACCUUGCCAUCCCUUCCUACCAUUGGUUUGCUCAAGCAUUUCACAAAUUCCCACCCAAGAUUGCCAUUGUCAUCCCUUUUAGUGACCAACCGUUUAAGAGGGUCUGGGCGUGGGCAUUCAGGGCACCUUGUUAGCAGCACUGGUCCAUACUGUCGCCAUUUUGAUUGCGUGGCGGAGGAGGUAGACAUUUGCGCUAGGUCGCCGGAGAAGAGAAAGAUUGGGGAAAGGGGAUGAAUGGGUAGCGGCGGGCGGACGGGCACGGGCGCUCGUCUCUUCUAGCUGCGAAGAGGUGGGUCCCGCGAGUAGACAAGUGGUGGGUCCCGCGCUUAGGUGGAUAAGUGGUGGGUCUAGCGCUUACAUGGAUAAGUGGUGGGUCCAGCCCCCAACAGCUUACGAGGGCAUCAGUUCAGUUUAACAACCAUGUCGUGCGUGGGCUAUUUACCUGCUCAAAUGUGUCGCACCACAGCCAUACGCUGGAACAACGUCGCACACAAGCCAAUUCACCUCAAAUGUGUCGCACAGGAGCUAUUGGCCCAUUUGGCACACCCUGGUUACAUUUUUAGUCCAAAAUAAAAAUGAUGCUGAAUAUGGGACUUGAACCCAUGUCAAGCAGGUAAUGGGAAACACACACCAACCAGCUCAGCUGGACUAUUUGUUGUGCAAAAGAAUGCACAUCAUAUUAUUUGACCAUAUUCCCUCUUGCUUUCUUUUUCUUUUUUCUUUGAGGAGUUGAUUAAAUAUCUCCCCGUAACUUUUUUGUGAAUAGUAUGAUAACUCACACAUUGCAGGCCCAAUAACUUAUGUAUCCCUGUCCUGAUAAGUUUGGCGACCAAAAGGAAGGGGGAGAGUUGACGAACUUUUGUGUGAAUAGCAUGAUAACUCACACAUCACAUACCUGAUAACUUAUGCACCAUAUCUUGGUAACUUUGCCAAGGAGGGGUGGGGGGAGUUGAUGAAAUAUCCCCUCGAUAGCUUUUGUGUCAAUAACAUGGUAACUCACACAUCGUAGACCUGGUAGCUUAUGUACAAAUAUCGUGGUAGCUUUUUUGACCAAAAAAACUAGUGUAAACAUACCUUCGAUAACUUUUUGAAUGAAUAGCAUGGUAACUCACACAUCGCAAACCUAAUAACUUAUGCACCCCANNNNNNNNNNNNNNNNNNNNNNNNNNNNNNNNNNNNNNNNNNNNNNNNNNNNNNNNNNNNNNNNNNNNNNNNNNNNNNNNNNNNNNNNNNNNNNNNNNNNNNNNNNNNNNNNNNNNNNNNNNNNNNNNNNNNNNNNNNNNNNNNNNNNNNNNNNNNNNNNNNNNNNNNNNNNNNNNNNNNNNNNNNNNNNNNNNNNNNNNNNNNNNNNNNNNNNNNNNNNNNNNNNNNNNNNNNNNNNNNNNNNNNNNNNNNNNNNNNNNNNNNNNNNNNNNNNNNNNNNNNNNNNNNNNNNNNNNNNNNNNNNNNNNNNNNNNNNNNNNNNNNNNNNNNNNNNNNNNNNNNNNNNNNNNNNNNNNNNNNNNNNNNNNNNNNNNNNNNNNNNNNNNNNNNNNNGGUCAGCGCAAGGGAGGAAAUAACUUUGGCACGGGGGAUAACUUUUUUUCCCACAAAAAAAAACAUUUUUCUCUGGGCCCAAAGUUACCGCAGUGUCUGUGAGCGAGUUAUCAGGUUCGUGGUGUAUAUAUUACCAUGCUCUUUAUAGACAGUUAUUGGCGUGUGUUAUAGCAUGGUUUUUUAAUGCAUUACAGACCUGAUAACUUAUGCGCAAGCCCCCUGAUAAUUCUGACUCAAGGAUUUUUUUUUAUUAAAAAUAUACCCCAAUAACAUGAUAAUUUAGACGCCACACACUUGAUAACUUACGUAUGAACACCCCGGUAACUUUCGUUUCAGUUAAAAUAAGUGUAGAAAUAUCCCCCGAUAAAUUCUAGAUAACUAGUAUAACAUGAGGGGCAUGGAGACAUCAUAUAUCCAUCCGUGAAAAUUGUGUGGUACAUAAAUCGAAGGAAAAAAACUGAAAAAGCAUGUUUCAUGUACUAUAGGUAGGAAACAAAUGUUUAAAUCUAAUCACUGGCUCAAUCUAGACCGAGUGGUUGCAAGCUACCGUGGGCUACCAAGAUGUAGCGGGUUCGAAUCCCACUUUCACCAAUUGUUUUUAUUGCGCUAGAAAAAGAAUACACGGUGGAUCGAUGUAGCGCCAGGAAAAUCGGAGCGAUCGUACAUGGGUGGAAUCGUGCGGAUCUGUUGCUAACGACCAGACUGGUCGUUAGCACAGUCCUAAUCUGAAUGCAGGACCAAGUUCAAUGACCAUAAAUAAAGGAUAUUAAAGCAAAUAUGUCCUCCUUUGAAGAUACUAGGGGUAAAGCAUGAGAUGAGAGAAUCACAUGAAGAAGCUCACUGCCUAGCAAAAGCUGCUUUAUCGCUAGAUUUGGGGUGCCACCUGUGGGUUACAUACCCACCUGAAACCGCUUGUAUCCCAAACGUUGUUUUGAGUUAAUUUAAACCUAGUGAUACCCCUCAAAAAAGCACUGCAGCAACGCAAUGUAGCAACUACUCCUGCUAUAACCUUCUCCAAUACGUUUGUAGAGUCCAUGACAACGUUAAAAAAGGACAUAUGUUAAGUUUGAGAAGUAGUGUUCUAGCAUGGUACUGUAGUGGUAAUUUUUGGAGGGAAAAUAGAACAAUUUUUGGAAAGCCAUAAACAUUUUUUAAUUUUUUUACCUAUUUCUUAAACUCAAAUAUUUUUUCAGAGACACGACUAAAUUUUGGAAAAAAAAAAUUAGAAUUUCCCAAACAUUUUUAAAACAUGAAUGUUCAUUGUAUUUUCCAAAUAGUUUAGAAAUAUAUGAACAAAAUUUGAAUGGUAAACAUUUUUAAGAUUUAUAUGUAAAAAAUUUAUAAUAUUGUGAACACUUCUUAAAAUACAUUAACAUUUUUCAAAAUUUUCUACCUAAGAGAAGAAAAGGAAAACACAAAAGAAAAGGGAAAGGAAGAACAAGCGAAGAAUAAAAUAAAAGGAAAAACCAGAGAAAACCAUAACCAAAACAAAAUAGAUAAAACGGAUCUUAACUGCUUGGGCCGGACAAUCAGCGGUUCGCUCGCUGGAUCGUUUGUGCUGUGCGAAGCAACGGCAUUGGGCUGCAGCGAGCGGCAAAUAGGGAUUUCGUUGUCGACCAAAUGCACAAGGAAGCGAGCGAGCGAACAAAGAUGGGCGGGACUAAUUAGAUGCAGUCUACAAGUUUCCUGUUUAUUUUUUUGGAUGUUUUGUCUACUGGCUUUUUCUUGUUUGGUUGUUCUUUUACCUUUUGUUUUUUUAAGAUCAAGUUUCUGAUGCAAUUAUGUUGUUUUCUUUGGUGUGCCGCGCUUCCCUCGCGCCCUUUCUGAUGCCCUCUCCAGUCAAUUCAAAUCCACUGUCGAACGCACGAGCUCCUGAUAUGAAGCUGCCCCCCCCCCCCUCCUCACUGAGAAUCCAUCAGUUGAUCCAGGAGCAUCGCGGAUUUCGCCACCAAAUUACCAUAUCUCAUGGGUGAUCAUGUUCCUAGUGCCAGUCCCGCUCCCGAUUGUGGGUAGCGAACCUGGAGAGACAGGGGUCGGUCUCUAUGAGAGGACAAAUAGCCGAGUGCCUCGCUGGAGUGGACGUGGUUGUUGGUGUCUAAGUGGUGGAGUGGUGGCGUAUCGGUUCUUUACGUACAUCGAGGACCCAGGUGGGUGAAGCCUUCUCCAUCUUAGAUAUGCAUUUUUCACUUGUAUAUCUUGGAACAACAAGCAUAGUUUGACCAUAUAACAUAUACUGUGCAAUAUAUUAUAAUAAUUUGAUUAACCCUACUCUGAUGGGUGACCGCCCAUCACUGGUGAUGGGCUAGCUAAGAGCAUCUUCAUCCGGACUCCUUAAAUCGACCGGACAGUUUCAGAAACACUGACAGGAUAGGAGAGGGAAGAAAAGGUUGACCUAACCGGACCCCACAAAGCCUGCUUAAAUGGCCGGGUUGUCCGACACUUAGACGCUCUAACCCGUCAGGGAGACUGAAGACCCGAUCACUGAUUUGUCAUGAAACAAGAAACUAGGAGGGAGUUAAUGUACCGUGCCUAAGUGUUUGAGUUUAUUUGGUUUUCGUAAGGUGACAUACACACCUAGACGGAGGGAGUACCAGUGAUUCACUGAUUCUAGCCUUCUAGCACCCUACAUUGUAAUCAUAUUAAUUGCGUCAUGAUGCAGACGCCGCCGUGGAAAAUGUCUAGGCAGGCUAGCUGGCCUGGAUUUAGACACACCACCAAACCAGCCUAUAGCAGCCUAUGCAUGGACGCCUCGGUUUAAGUGUAGUUGUUAACUCCUAAUCGCCAGACUGUAUGCAACCAAACAUCAGGUGAAACUUGGUUUCACAAUGCAGAGACCAUAUAUACAGGCAAUCAAAUAACAUGCAAAUAUCAUAUUUUUCUAUAUUUUUCCUCAACCUGCCUCCAGGGACGGAGCCAGAUAANNNNNNNNNNNNNNNNNNNNNNNNNNNNNNNNNNNNNNNNNNNNNNNNNNNNNNNNNNNNNNNNNNNNNNNNNNNNNNNNNNNNNNNNNNNNNNNNNNNNNNNNNNNNNNNNNNNNNNNNNNNNNNNNNNNNNNNCAUAAGCACAUACUGUAGUAAAUAUCAUGAGAUCUAAAUAGUAAAUAUAUGUAUCAGGGGCCAUAGCACGCUAAAUGGCGCUAAAUUGCACACUAUAUGUUUAGCGGGGUGCCCCUGCUGCUGUAACAUCGAGAUAUUGCGCCACUUAAUUUUGAUAAAAAUACACAUAUCUACUAAUUUGAAGUCAGCUUUGUGAGCACGAAAUCAACAAUUUCUUCAGAGCUAAACCUGGCCGUUAAUUCCUUCUCAAUGAUUGUAGUUUUUACAAUUAUAUAUUGCAGUUCGAUAUGGUUCUGAAAUCACAUGCUAACCUAAUUAGGGCUUGAAUGUAUUGCUCAAAAUACCUUGUAUACUCGUUCUGUUGCCGCUCGUCCGUGCGGUCGGCCUACCGGCUACCGGCAAAGUGCCCAUGGAUCGACGCUCGCCCACGGCCGUCCCUUCACCGCUUUUCUUGAUGGCGAUGUGACGGAGUCGCGCAAAGAUCUGAUAGCAGGCAGCGGCGCUACGGCAGGCGGCAGAUGUGAAUUUCGAUCGGAGCAUGCGGUUGGGAAAUGAAGGGAUAGCGACCCGUUUGUGCGUGGACGCGUAGGUGGGCUGCUAGCCUGCUAAUUAACCUGUUUGUCCUCCUCUACUUGGGGAUGGGCUGCGUGCUGGUAGCCUCCUAAUUGUAUACGACCUGUGGCUGCUUGUUUUGGGCCUCUAUAUAGGCUGCUAAACUGCGUCGUGUACAUGGGUUCACUUAAUUUCUCAAAAAAAAACAUGGGUUNNNNNNNNNNNNNNNNNNNNNNNNNNNNNNNNNNNNNNNNNNNNNNNNNNNNNNNNNNNNNNNNNNNNNNNNNNNNNNNNNNNNNNNNNNNNNNNNNNNNNNNNNNNNNNNNNNNNNNNNNNNNNNNNNNNNNNNNNNNNNNNNNNNNNNNNNNNNNNNNNNNNNNNNNNNNNNNNNNNNNNNNNNNNNNNNNNNNNNNNNNNNNNNNNNNNNNNNNNNNNNNNNNNNNNNNNNNNNNNNNNNNNNNNNNNNCUCAACUCAGCCUUGUCCUUUUUUUAUGCAAUCUCUGAAAAUUGAUGCAGGUAACCAAACACGUCCUAGGUUAUGGAGCAUAACAGAUGAUCCGAUAGCCAAAAAGACUUCACCCAUAAGUCUUCAUUUUUUUUGGGUUUGAGAUAACUUUUCCCCUAGGGUUUUCUCCUAGGGUCUACCUAUCCUCUGGCAGCGCCGCCAGAGUCCACGAGAGCCAAACACCGCAUGACCUGCAGCUCUACGGCGGGAUCGUUUCGCUCGUCCGAGGGGGUUCGCUACGCAUGGCGGAUCUGGUACGGUUGGAAGGAGGAAGGAGGCAGUCGGGAGGAAAGGCGGCAGCACGGUUGGAGGAAGAGAAGAUAGUUGAUGGAGCGGGAGGUUUGGGAAGCACGAGUCAGAACUUUAAGGGGGGACAGGAGGAUAUGUCGGCGGACCACGCCAUGGGGGACAGGAGGAUAUGUCGGCGGACCAUGCCAUGCCAGAUGAGGAGGAGGAUGAAGAGGAAGCAUGGGAUCAUUAUGGUCCAGAUCCGGCUCUGGAGGAUGCGUUUGAAGGGCUAAACUUACAUGGUGAAGAAGAGGAGGAUUUGGACCUAUCUAGAGAGGUGGAGGAGUUGAUCAGGGAUGUGAGGUGGUUAGCGCUGUUUAGGGUUCAUACCAUGCGGCCGUUCAGCCACUCGGCGCUAUUGAACUCGAUGAGGAACGCGUGGGCUUGCGCCCAAGGGAUCACGUUUAACAUCAAAGGUCCGAACUUGUUCCUUGCACAGUGCCAUUGCUUGGGAGAUUGGAAACGCGUGAUGGAGGGGGGCCGUGGCAAUUUCGUAGGGAUCCGGUAGUUUUGGUGGAGUAUGAUGGAUUCACAAGCGUAGCUGAGUAUUCUCUGGACAUGUACCCGCUCUGGGCAAGGAUUAAAGGCCUUCCGGAUGGGCUGACAAGGAAGAAGGAGCUUGCAGAAAAGGUUGCUAAGAAGGUUGGAGAACCACCAUUUAUGGUUAUGGUGAAUGAAGGAAAGAUAAACCCAUCGAGCCAUCUACGGUUGAAAGUGUUUGUCAAUGUGAAUAAGCCUCUUGUGAGAUUUGUGCCGGUCACUUUAAAGGAAAGGAAGAAAUACCUGGUUAGCUAUGAGAAACUCCACGACUUCUGUUUCUUAUGUGGCUGCAUGAGUCAUGUAGUUGAGGAGUGUGGUGAUGGCAUCCACCUGCCUAACUCGUGCGAAUGGGGGGGACUGGCUUCACUGGAAUAAUGAACCGGGAGGAGGAGGAGGAGGUGCAGGCAGAGGAGGUAGAUCUAGUGUGAGGGGCGGGAGCUUUGCUGCAGGGAGUGCUGGGCGUGGGGGGAGAAGAGGCGGCGCUGGGGGACGAGGGGAUGGAGGUAGCGUGAGGUUUAAUAGUGGUGGGAGAGGGCGGGAAGAAGGUCUUGCCAAUGAAAAUCGUGCCCAUUCGGAAGACAAUAAUUUGCAUGUUGAUGAUGAAGGAGGGAGGGUUCGUAAGAGGCUAAUUGCUGAUGAUGGUAUGGUGGACGGGAGUGGGCAGGCAGUACAAAACCCUGGCGGCAUAGUGUCGAAUGUUGUUUUGAUGAUUGAAAAUGGCGGUGGGGCAGGAAGUCAAGUAGAUGGGGGUGCUCAUACCCCGAGAAAAGUCCCAAUAGUUAAGAGGAGGAAGCAGGGGGUGAAGGAAGUGAAGUGUUAAGUGCAGGGCCGGCCCAUAGAUAUAUGGGGCCCAGGGGCAAGACAGCAAUAAGGGCCCCCUGUUUACUAAAAGCUCAAAAUAUUUUAUAUUUCAAAAGCAAAGUAAUAUCCAGUACAUAGCUUCUCAAUUUGGACUCUAAAACUGACAGUACAAUUUAUUUAUCAAUCAAGUGAACCAAUGAAAUGAUGUAGUUUGGCAAAAGCUCGCUUUCCACAAUAGCUUGUACUCCUAAAUUUUAAUGGAGACUUCAUUUCUCAGCUGGUUGUUCUUCAACACUUGCUAUGGCCAAUUGAUUCUAGGGGAUCUCUAGAAGAACUACCAGGUCUGGAAAAUUUGUCAAGUGAUCCUUUUAGGGAUUUUACCUCUUCAUCUAUUUGCUCUUUUCUCUUCCUUUUGUUACUACCAGAUAAAUACUUUCUAGAGGACAUGUCAAUAAACAAGAACAAGCAGCAUAAAAUGAUUAAAACAGGGAACAAAAGCACCUGAAUAUGGAUGUAGGUGGCCAAAUCAGCAGAUCCGCAGGUUGAAGUCAGCACGAACGAGAACACAACACCAUGAACUGAAUAAUUUGCCCCCCUUCUCCAGUUCAGGAGCUCCCCUAAUCUCCUGACUGCCGAGCACUCACACUUAGAUCCACUGAAGUCUGAAGAGUAUAAAAUAAGAAGAAGAGAUGUGGAGUCGUUAGAGGGCACGUCUACUUAAUUGAAAGGAGGAACAGGAUUAUGGGGAGGAGGAAAAGAAGAACACGUACUGUCUCCAAGUCUCCAAUAUCUAGCUGAUGGGGAACGAGCAGAACAUAAAAGAAGGAAGGAGAGCCGAUUUGUGCCUUUAGUCCCCAUUAAUGGUCGGCUGCGAUCUAGGAAUUGGAGACGCUCGGAACGGCGGCGAUCUAGGAAUCGGAGACGCUCGGGAACGGGGGCGAUGUUUUCAGAGUAUGGGAUUUUGGGUAGAGGAGUCGAGAAGCACGGGAAAGAGCGACGCUGAACGGGCCCUCUGUACUCUCGCUGUUUUUCUGGGCUUCCUAGUCCAAUAGAGGAAAUAAUACCUGGGCUGGGGCCCCUGCCUGCCGGGGGCCCAGGGCGGGCGCCCCGUUUGCCCGGCCUAUGGGCCGGCCCUGGUUAAGUGACAAGAUGAAUGUGGCGGCCUCCGUGUGUGAGGACCGCCGAGUCCAAUGAAUUUCUUAAGCUGGAACUGCAGGGGAGGGGGGAAUACCCGGACAGUUCGUGAGUUGGCGACGUUAUCCCAGUCGCAUUCCCCCAACUUUAUCUUUUUGUGUGAAACUAGACAAAAGGCUAGUAAGAUGAGGAGGAUCCGGGCAAGAUUGGACCUCAAGGGCUUUGAGGGGGUGGAUAGCAAUGGUAUGAGUGGGGGUCUGGCCCUCUACUAGCAUGAGUCUUGUGUUGUGGGGGUGGUUGAAAAAGAUGAAAGGUAUAUUGAUGCGGUUAUGAGGUUGCAUGAGGGUGGAAGCCAAUGGAGAGUUACUUGUGUGUACGGUGAACCUCGCACGGAAAAUCGACAUCUCAUGUGGGCAAAGCUUCAGGGUUUGAAGAAUACUUGUGAUCUUCCGUGGCUUGUAAUAGGUGAUUUUAAUGAAGCACUUUGGAGUUUUGAACAUCUCUCGGUUACCCCAAGACCAGAACCACAAAUGUUGGCGUUUAGAGAUACUCUGGAGGUGUGCGAGUUGGUGGAUUUGGGCUUCUUUGGGGUGCCGUUUACAUAUGAUAACAAGCGCAGCGGUAACGGAAACGUGAAGGUCAGGUUGGAUCGGGCUGUAGCAUGUAAUGCAUGGAGAAACAUGUUUCCCUUUGCCCUGGUUAAACAUGUCCCAUCACCAUGUUCUGAUCAUGUGGUUGUAGUGCUUAAAGGAGAGGAGGAGAAAACACCAUGGGGUGGGGGCGCUCGUCGGUACGAACUAUUUUGGGAGAGGGAUCCGGUGUUGCCAGAGGUGGUAAAAAGCGUGUGGGACUCAGUUGGUUCAGUUAGUAGCAUGGCUGACUUACAGCAAGCUCUCUCUAAAACAAUGUCAGCAUUACGUUCGUGGAGCAAGAAAUUUGGUAAUGUUACGAGGGAGCUAGCAAAGUCUCGCACGCAAUUGGAGGAGCUUAUGAAUAUGAAAGCUGACAGGCAGGAUAAUAGAGUUGUAACUGACAAAAUGAAUGAAUUGUUAUACCAGGAGGAGAUGAUGUGGUUGCAAAGGUCUCGAAUUACUUGACUCAAGGAGGGGGAUAGAAAUACAAGGUACUUUCAGAGCAAGGCAGUGUGGAGGGCCAGGAAGAAUAAGAUUAAGGAGUUGUCUGACAGCAUUGGUGUGAUCCACUCGGAUAUGGCAUCAAUGGGGCGCAUUGCGAAUGAGUAUUUUCACAACAUCUACAAAUCUGAUCCGAAUAUUGUAUCAUCGACUGUUGUGGAUCUGUUCGCUCGAGUGGUGACAACAGAGGAUAAUGUCAAGCUUUGUGCGCCGUUCAGUGACAAGGAGAUAUCAGAUGCCCUGUUUAUUGGUCCUUUGAAGUCUCCGGGUCCGGAUGGCUUCCCUGCCCAGUUUUUUCAGCGCAAUUGGAGUGUGUUGAAGGAGAGUAUCCUAGCUGCAGUAAAGGAUUUUUUUUCCACGGGUGUAAUACUAGAGGGGGUGAAUGAUACGUCAAUUGUGCUCAUCCCAAAAAUUUCUAACCCUAUUAAGAUUUCUGAUUUCAGGCCCAUAAGUCUUUGCAAUGUAACAUACAAGGUGAUUUCAAAGUGUUUAGUCAACCGGCUACGCCCGUUGUUGGAUGAUCUUAUUUCACCUGAACAGAGUGCUUUCAUUCCGGGGAGGAUGAUCACGGAUAAUGCACUAGUGGCUUUUGAAUGUAUCCAUUAUAUCAAACAGGAAAAGGACCCUUCGAAGAGUUUUUGUGCUUACAAGGUAGACCUCUCCAAAGCAUAUGAUAGAGUGGAUUGGGGCUUCUUGAAGCAAAUGAUGCAAAAGAUGGGCUUCUCAGACCGGUGGGUGGACUGGAUUAUGGCGUGUGUCACAUCGGUUAGAUACUCUGUUAAAUUAAAUGGGACCCUCUUGGAUUCGUUUGCACCGACGCGUGGGCUUCGGCAAGGUGACCCUUUAUCACCGUUCUUGUUCUUGUUUGUGGCGGAUGGCCUUUCCGCGGUCUUAAACCAGCAAGUAUCAGCUGGUGUCAUCACACCGGUUAGGAUAUGCAGAAGAGCGCCGGGUAUCUCACAUCUCUUGUUUGCGGAUGACACUCUUUUGUUCUUUGAAGCAUCUCAAGAACAAUCCCUACAUGUGAGGAAGGCACUGGAUAUGUAUAGUGCAGCUACUGGUCAACUCUUGAAUUAUAACAAAUGCUCCCUGUUUUUUGGUGAUUCAUGCCCGGAACCAGUCCAGAAUCUGGUCAGUAAUACCCUCCAGGUGACCAGCACACUUUUUGAGGAAAGGUACUUGGGUCUUCCUACGCCAGAGGGUCGCAUGUCCAAGGGUAAAUUUCAGAACUUGCAAAUGAGUUUAACAAAACGUCUAAUACAAUGGGGGGAUGGACAUCUAGCACAGCCGGGUAGAGAGGUACUUAUCAAAUCGGUAGCCCAAGCAUUGCCAACAUAUGUGAUGGGGGUUUUCAAAUUACCGCUCUCCUUGUGUGAUGAGCUUACAAGGAUGAUCAGGAAUUUUUAUUGGGGCUGAGAGAAAGGCAAGAGGAAAGUGCAUUGGAGAGGGUGGGACUAUCUCCUCCAGCCUAAAUCAAGAGGAGGAGUUGGAUUCCGAGAUCUCCGUAUUUUCAACCAAGCACCGCUCUCACGUCAAGCUUGGAGAUUGAUCACCAGGCCGGUCAGUCUAUGCGCAAGAGUUCUUAAAGCACGUUACUAUCCAAACGGGAAGUUGGAAGACACUGUCUUUUCGGGAACGCCUCAUCCUCAUGGCAGGCUAUAAGCCAUGGACUGGACUUGCUGAAAAAAGGUUUGCUAUGGAGGGUCGGGAAUGGUAACAGUAUUAGAAUUUGGAGAGAUAAUUGGAUCCCCCGGCCUUUCUCUUUUAAGCCGAUCUCUCCACAAGGUCGAUGUCGUGUCCGUUUUGUGGCUGAUCUUUCGUAUGAUAAUGGUUCCUGGAAGUAUGAUCAAUUGGUGAAGUAUUUCGUUGCAGCUGAUGUCACAGAAAUUCUGAAGAUUCGAGCGUCACCAAGAAAGGAGGAGGACGUGAUAGCAUGGGGGCCAGGGCGUCACGGUCAGUUCUCUGUAAAAUCGGCCUAUGAUAUGGCCUUCCAGGAGGAACACAGAAAUAAUGUUGUUUCUUCGAGUAGCAACCCAGACGGUGAUAGAUCUCUAUGGAAAUUGGUAUGGUCUGCUGGGGUUCCUCCCAAAGUUCAGAAUUUUGCAUGGCGAUUAUGUACAACAGUCUCCCAACGUGGAAAAACAAACAAAGAAGAGGACUAGAAGUUUCAAGUCUGUGUCCAAUCUGUGCUAUGGAAACCGAGGAUAAUUUCCACCCGGUUCUUCGGUGCCCGCUGGCUCGUCAAUUAUAUGAGGCCAUGUCAGAGGUGUGGAAGUUGCCAGCACUUGGAACGAUUCUGCACACAGGCAAGGAAUGGUUAUUCCAGCUCCUGGAGGAGCUGGACCAAACCACGUGCAGCAUGCUACUAUUUACGUUCUGGAGGUGUUGGUAUGUGCGUAAUGAGGUGGUGCAUCAUAAACCUCCCCCGCCUGUGAGUGCAUCAUGCAGGUUUCUUCAGAGCUAUUUGGAGUCGCUCAUUGCCACCAAAAUAAAUGGUGAUAUGGACCCCCGGAAGGGCAAGGCGAGUUGUGUAAUCUUUGCUAAACCCCCUCGAACUUGUACCACAGAGCCAGAGUUGAAGUGGGUUCCGCCCCAGCAAGGAUGGGCAAAACUGAAUACCGAUGGUUCUUAUGACGGCGGGGGUUCUGCAGGUUCAGGUAUGAUCCUGCGAGACGAGGUGGGUGGUAUUAUCUUCACUGCAUGUAGGCAGCUGUUUUCUUGCCGGGACGCGCUGGAGUCGGAGCUUAAUGCAUGCAUGGAAGGACUGUCAUUGUCAUUACAAAGAAGUGAAGCACCCAUUGUUGUGGAGAUGGACUCGGGCGUGGCUGUUUCCAUGAUCCAGGAGGAGGGAGUUGACAGAUCAGUGUAUGCUUCCAUAGUCAAUGAAAUCAAGCAUCUUAGAACUUUGAGAGAGACGCGUAUUACUCUUGUUUCCCGUAGCCAAAAUAAAGCUAGUGAUUGUUUAGCCAAUUUUGAAGGGGAGCCUUGGCGCAGUGGUAAAGCCGCUGCCUUGUGACCAUGAGGUCACGGGUUCAAGUUCUGGAAACAGCCUCUUGCAGAAAUGUAGGGAAAGGCUGCGUACAAUAGACCCAAAGUUGUCGGACCCUUCCCCAGACCCUGCGCAAGCGGGAGCUACAUGCACUGGGGCUGCCCUUUUUUUUUAUUGUUUAGCCAAUUUUGCUAGAGUUAGCCAAAGAACUGUGACGUGGCUACGAUCAGGCCCUCCGAGUGUCCUGGGUUUGGUGCAAGAUGAUUAUAAGGACCUUUUGAAUGAGUAAUAUAUGGUUUCUUCCCGCAAAAAAAAAAAGUCUUCAUUUUGAUCGUCCCUUCAUUAGACCUCUACUAGUAAGAAGUGAUAUAUCUGUUCAAACAUUGGACUCACAUGUGGUGCAUUGUACACUGCUGCAAGUAAGCAUACAUGAGGUGGCACAAUUUGGAUUCUAGAACCAUCAUAUUGCAUGCUGCCAAACGCGGCCGAAGAAAACGUCGAGCCAGCUUGCUUUGGACUAUAGUAGCAACAGGCAGCAUUGCGGCUAUAAAUACAUCCACCGCGGGCGAGAGCAGCAAGCCACAAUUCACCACCGCUGCACGCACACUACCAUCACAAACUCGUCCAAGAAUACCAAGAGCGGCAUCAUCCAUGGCGUCCACUCGCGUCCUCCACCUCAUCAUCGCCCUCGUCCUUGCCGUCACCGUCGCCACAGAUGCGGCCACCAUCACGGUGGUGAACCGGUGCUCCUACACGGUGUGGCCGGGCGCGCUCCCAGGCGGCGGCGCGCGUCUCGACCCGGGCAAGUCGUGGCAGCUCAACAUGCCCGCCGGCACAGCGGGCGCCAGGGUGUGGCCGCGCACCGGAUGCACCUUCGACGGCAGCGGCCGGGGCCGGUGCAUCACGGGCGACUGCGGCGGCGCGCUGGCUUGCAGCGUGUCCGGCCAGCAGCCCACCACGCUGGCCGAGUACACGCUGGGGCGGGGCGGGAGCCGGGACUUCUUCGACCUGUCCGUCAUCGACGGCUUCAAUACGCCCAUGAGCUUCCAGCCCGUCGGCGGCGCGCCGUGCCGUGCGGCGACCUGCGCCGUGGACAUCACCAGGGAAUGCCUGCCAGAGCUGAAGGUGCCCGGAGGGUGCGCGAGCGCGUGCGGCAAGUUCGGCGGCGACACGUACUGCUGCCGUGGCCAGUUCGAGCACAACUGCCCGCCGACGAACUACUCGAGGUUCUUCAAGGGCAAGUGCCCCGACGCCUACAGCUACGCCAAGGACGACCAGACCAGCACCUUCACCUGCCCCGCCGGAACCAACUACCAGAUCGUUCUCUGCCCCGCACGAAAUGAUUUACACAUGGAUCAGUAAGUAGAUGACGUUUUUUCCUUGUAGUCUUCCUGACUUAUUAUGAUCAUCGAUCAUUUCUGUGUGUGCGUGCGUGCGUGUGUGGCUGGUGCGUGCCAUUCAGCGAAUAAAUGUAUAAAUGAAAUGGAAGUGUAAUUUCUUUGCAGUAUGGCAAUAAAUGAAAUGGAAGCGAAAAAAUAAAGAAAUUAGCAUUGAUGAGAUCAAACCAAAAGGCCAUUUAUAUGUUUCAAAAUAAAUUAGUGAACGUUAAUGACUUACUUUGCAGUAUGGCACUAGAAAGGUGUCCGCAUGUGGAUGAUUGACAAUAAAGAACGGGGAUAUGUGAAAGAGAACAUGUAGUUUGAGAUGACCUCCUGAACUUCUGUGGUUUCCAGGUUGUGGCAGUACAUGUAAAAAGGAUUAGAUAAGGACACUUUACCAUGCGGGAGUAGGGGAUCUGUAGCUGGAUGAAGUACCCAGAUCCUCAUUAACUCUGGAGAGACUGCACUGGUGGAGAAAAUAUUUGCAUAGAUGACCUCAUGAAAGGCCAAAUCAAUUCUGUCGGCCAGAGACUCUGGGACAAAACUAUAACCUUCUAUCACCUUGGCCGUGUAUCCAUGUUGACAAUUUUUGAUUUAUCUACCACAUGGGCGUGUAGAAUUUGAAGAUCAAUCGAGAGGGUCUCCAACAUAGAAUCUGAUAGAAGUAGUCCCCAGGCUUAUACAUGUUCAUUUUCCGCCCUUCGGGGAUGACAACAUGCAUAGGUGGUUUGUCUGCAGAUUGUCUGCAACUGUCACGUGCAUUCUUCUCCCCUGAGUGUGGAUUAGCUGGCACUACGUCUCCGGUGCCGGCAUAUCCUUGGGAAAUCUCCUCUAUAUCAUUCAUUGGCCACUUAAGCAGGUGGCUCAGGGUCACUUUCGAUAACAUAUUGACACCGUCGGCAGCAGCGAGUUGUCAUGCCUUUCGUGUUACCCUCGAACCUACAUGAUUUUGAGUGGGACACCUAACGAAGACGACGAAGGCGAGUGCGUCGCCCCGGCCGCAUGCCCUCUUCAUCGCCUCGCCUUGCUGGCCGUCGUCCGCGGCUAGAUUGCCUGGUUUUUGGUUUUCUGGUCGAGCCUCCGGGAUCUACAACUGGUCGCUGACAUGACAUAGAGAUGACAGACUUUGCUUGGACCGCAUGGCCCCGGCCUUGUCCAGCCCGUCCCAUGAAUGACCAUGCAGACACUAGAAUACGAGGCCAUACUAUGGUAAGUAUUCAACUCCAUCGAACUCUAUUAUUGACAUCACGCCAUGUCCAUUCUUUUCAAAAUAAAAACAAAAGCUAGCUAAUUAACUAAAUUCCUGCCGCCGCCGGCGGCAUGCAAGCAGCCUAGGCUCUGACUUUUGGCAGCGUUGGGAUGACAGUGCGCUGGGAGGAGUUGGGAUGGAGGACUUUCAAAGGGUGCCAGGCUGCCAGCCUGCACGCAGCGUCUGGAUGGCCAAGAACAUGGGGCGGCGGCUGGAUGAUUAUUUUGCAAGCGAUGGAUGGCCGGCAUUGGGGACCAUUAGAUUAACCAUUAGAUUAAGCCAAAAUCUGACGGUCUCAUGCUGACCAUUCGAUUAACUAAAUACUACCCAUUACGUUGAGUAGUAUGAUAUACCGUAAAAUUUUCCACAUUCAAAUCCUCCCGGGCAUGGUGUCUGGAUGGAUUUGGGGGCGCACCGGCUGCAACAUCGAUGCCAGCGGCCGCGGGUCGUGCACCACGGGCAAUUGCGGUGGCGUGCUGUCCUGUGCCACCGGUGGGAAGCCACUCGCGAAGCUGAGUACACGCUGGGUAAGGGCGGCAGCCCUGACUUUGGUGACAUCUCCCUCAUCGACGGAUUCAACGUGCCCAUGAGCUUUGGGCCUGUCGGCAGCAGCUGUCACGUGAUAAGCUGUCGGAGCUGAAGGUGGACAGAGGCUAUGUGAGUGCGUGCAUCAAGUUCGGCACCCCCCAGUACUGCUGCACGCCGCCGCUUACGCCGUCGACCUGUGGGCCGACGGACUACUCGCGCUUCUUCAAGGGGCACUUUCCGGACGCCUACAGCUACGCCUACGAGAAGAGCAGCACCUUCACCUGCCACGUCCGAUCAGACUACCAAGUCACCUUCUGCCCAUAGAGGC
RNAcentral lists this long non-coding RNA (53107 nucleotides) under Triticum aestivum (bread wheat). RNAcentral's name for it is "long non-coding RNA (TAES_LNC006599)". The record is from RNAcentral. Lineage: Eukaryota; Viridiplantae; Streptophyta; Magnoliopsida; Poales; Poaceae.